RNAcentral lists this long non-coding RNA (55201 nucleotides) under Panicum hallii. Its description in RNAcentral is "long non-coding RNA (PHAL_LNC000910)". Lineage: Eukaryota; Viridiplantae; Streptophyta; Magnoliopsida; Poales; Poaceae. The record is from RNAcentral.
UUCAGAGGAAUUUAUUCAUGGGUGCCUUCAUAAGUCCGUCUGAGUGAAUUGAGACAAGUACUCCUGAUAUAAUAUAGUUAUAGCAGGGUUUACUGACUUCGCGAAUGAGUUCCAAGCUUUUUAAAAAGAGUUUGAGCUCGGCCAAAGACUCUUUCAACAUCUGUUGGAAGCUUUGGCUUACUCUUUCAGACUCCGGCCCCUUCUUAAUAGCAAAUACAAAGUUAUCUACAUAUAUAACAACAAGAAAUUCCUUCUUUUGAAUCAAAAUAUGAAUAAACAUGAUAUGUUUCUGUAAGAAGAUAUUCCAAAGAAUUGGAGAUAAGGGGCUUACCCGCUGUAUUCCUUUAAAAAUGAAUGCAUAACUUUUUGGAUUCUGAUCUUUGAUAUCACUAGCUUCAAUCAGAUUACAGAAGGCAUCAUUACCUUGCCCAAUAUGCGCUUAUAAUGUUGAAAUGAAAAUCAUAAUAUUAAUAUUAUUAAAACAACCAACUAUAUCGGCUUGAAUGAGUCUAUCAACCUUUCCGAAAUUUUGAACAUGAGCGAAAAAGGGGAUGACUUCUCUCCCUUUUCGAAACCCAUGGGAGUAUGUUAGAAAGAUGUCUUCAAGAACGAUGUUCAAAAGCCGUAUCCAUGACAAUGAUGUCUGCCUUAUGAGGCUGUCUAAUGGAGCGCAUCUCCCCCGGCUUAUGUGGUUUAGGAAUGCAUGAUCAAUAAGAGAACUAAAAGGAAGAAUUCUUUAAUUACCUCUUAAUCUCCUCCACUUGGGACUUGUCAAGAACUUAAAAAGUAGAAGACUUUUCCCAAAGCCAAAGGUAGUAAAUAACAUAUAAUAAUAUCAACAAAUAAUCUAUAAAUUAUCUUAUCCUCCUUUUAAAAAAGAGUAAGUCUUUCAGACCUUUUUUUACAUUUGAAACUCAUGUUCAUGGUUUGUUUUAUUCCCAAUUGUUGCCCGUGUGAAAAGAAAGAAGAGAAAUUGGACCAUGUUUCCCGAGAGAGACUACCUUCUCUCAGGCCAGCAGUCUUACACUUAUAGUCGACUGCUCUAUGACGAUCUGACCUCUUUCCUGGGCUCUGCUCGCUCGUCUACACUCUGACCAAUUCAGUCAAAAUCGAAGAAAAUGAUGUUUCCUUAAAAAAGUCUAAGAAAUAGUAGUAGUAGUCAAAAAGUGCACUUUUUCCAUAUAUUUCGAUUUAUACGGAUCCCUAUCUUUAUCUCUAUCAACAGAUAUACCUAUCUAUAUAGAGGGAGAUUUUUCUAAAAAUUGAUCUAGACUAUCCUCUAUCCGGAUAGAUAUGUCCCUAUGAGCGACUAGGCCGCUCCUUUUUUAUAUGUUUUGGUCACGUCCGUUUCCGCUCUGAGAGGAAGGUUUAGAUCUUUCAAUCUUAUGUCGUGAGGGAUGUGACCUAUGUUAGGUCCAUAAGAUACCACAACUUUUUAGUGUUCUGUGAUUCACCUCCAAAUAAUGAGUAGGUAGUUCGAUCCUUUUGAUUCUUAUCUUCCUAGUAAACGGGGAUCCGGAGCAAUAGGUCGAAUUUCUAUAUAAAGAAGACUUGUAAACAAAAGAACUUAUUGCUCUUUUUCGGUUUUCCUCUUCCUCCUUCCUUCUUUUCAAUAAGAAGAAGUAUUUGAAAUGAAACAAAUUCCUCUUCAUUCUGUUGUGCUCAGCGAAGGAACUGCCUAAGCAUACUUUUGCGGAUCCAAACUUCUUUGUUCUUUCUAAGCCUUCUUCUUGCAUAUAAGAACGCAACUCUUGCAAAAACCCGGAUUUGAGUAGUAAGUGGCAUCCCCUUUGAGUUGUGAGUAAGCGGAACCAUUCUGUUUUUGUUCUUCUCCAGAUUCUGACCAGUAGGAAUUUGCCUAUGAAUUUGCUCUCCUCGCACACGACACAGCGUUCACUCUCCUUCCACCCCCUCCGCUUCAGGGCUACGCCUCUCUGCAGCCUUCCCUGACAGGCCAGGCAAACGUAGACUUUAAUCUUGAGGGGCAAUCUGCAGCCCCAUAGGCGUUGCAUCCGUUUGUUAAUCACACCACGGUGUGCUAGCAGCCUAUACAUUGAUUUUGUUGUGUAGUUACCCGACCUCUCCAAAGCCCAGCAGGCUCUAUCGUUGCCAUCUGACAGGGUCACGUCCUGCAGGAGUGUCAACAUGGCGUCCCAUUGGUCCAUUUCCUCCUGUCCAAAUGCUCGGCAGAAAGUAAUCCUCCAUUCCCCCUCCUCAAAGCAAUCGCAAGCUGUCAGAUUCUUGUUUGCAUGCUCAUAUGACUUGGGAAACAUGAGUUUCAGGGGCGCAUACCUAACCCAAGUUCUUCCCAAAACAAGACAUCUUUCCCAUUGCCCACCUUGAAAGUUGCCCGCCAUUUAAAUUUUUCCCUUAACUUGAGGAUUCCUUUCCAAAACUGGGACCCCUACCUAUAGUUUUGACCAGGGCACAGGUUGAGUUGCUGCAGCAUUUAGCCCUUAGCAGCUGGCAGCACUGGUCCUCCUCCCCACCAUUGUGUAGUCUCCAGGUCCACUUCAUUAGGAGAGCCUCAUAAAGGAGUCUAGUGUUCAGGAUCCCAAGCCCCCCAAAGUCCUUUGCAAGCACACAUUUUCCCAUUUAACCAUGUGGUACUUGAACUUGUCAACAUCGCCCCCCUAGAAAAACCGAGAUCUCACCACAUCCAUCUGGUGAUGGACCUUCUCAUUUAGCAUGUAUAUGCCCAUGGUGUAUAUGGGCAUGCUGCUCAAGGAAGAGUUUGUUAGGAUCAACCUCUCCGCCACCACCAUUGCAAGCUUCCGCCUUCUCUAACUCUAGCCUUCUUCCUCCACCACUAUUUCUGCGUACCCACCAUCCUCCGCGGCCUUGGUGGGUGGCGUUGCCACUGACUACCUCACUGCCAUCUCGACCCCACCCACCACCGUUUCGGUGACCUUCUACCGCCCCUCUAUAGUUCAGCAACCUAGGAACCCUAUAACCCUAAACUCUAACCCCGGUAGCUCCAAAACCCAAAACCUGAGGGCCCGCGCGGGCGAUGCAACGAGUGGCGGCAGCGGCAGGACGUUCAUGAUGGGCUGCUGCUGGGCCUUUUGAAGCGCGUUGGAUCGAGGUCGCACGCUACCCUGAUUAUUCCCGCAUCUGAGGUGCCAUCCUACAACGAUAUCAUUGAGGAAGUGCGUCUCGACAAAGAGCGGCGCCAGGUUGCUCCUGUUCCUGCAAGCGGUGUUGACCCGCGCUAUCGCACAUCCCAUCCCAUUCGAGUUUUGUUACUUUUUGGAUCCCCAUUUCAGGUGAUUCGAUUUUUGUGGAUUCUUGGAUACUAGUUUUUUGUAGUUCCAUCUGAGAGGCUUGGGUAGUGGUUAGUAGUUGUGAUUUAUUUUUGUGGUGACAAUUAAUUUGGGUGGGGCUAGUGGAGACUGACUGCAAUGGUGAUGGUUGAGAGUGGAACGGAGUCCCCAUUUCUCUGGGACGGUGUGUUUAGAAUGGUAGCAGCUUCACGAAUGAUAGGCAAGUUUUAGCUUUGUUCAGUAAAUGCUUGUAUACUAUGUUAUUUUUAUUCAGAAAAUAUGUUUAGUCCAGUCUAGCCCUAUCCGCACUCUCUCUAAAUUCACUAAUUUUUCCCCGGUUAUAUUUCACUUAAUGUCCUUCUGCCAUAUAGCCUUUCUUUUUACAAGUUUACAUAAUUUUUUUCCUUACAUUUAGAAAUUAGAAGUAACAUUAUUGGAACCUGAAGCCAUAAAACUCACAUUAUUGGAUCUUAUGCUUCCAGUUUAGUUAAGUGCUAAGUUCAUAUAUAAUGUCAUGUCAUGCUCUAAUAUUCAUUAUUCGAUUCAAUCAGUGCUACAUCAUGUGUGAUGCUAACUUAAUAUUAAAUGUUUAUUUAUUUAGAGCCUGAUUGAUUGGGUAUCAAAUCUGCCCAAUCAAAAUUUAGGUAAGCCUAUAAAUUUUAGCACUCCUUUGGUUGGAAUUCAAAAAAUAGCUCACCUAACUAAGUGUUAUUCUAAAAUUGCAAGGUUUUGGUAAAAAAGAUUGACAUGCCUAUAUUUUGACAUUUUGUUAUCCAAACAAGCAGGCCCUUAGUUUUCAUUUUCAAGUCUCCACCUUAGUUCAUGUUUUUCUUUAAAAUACAAUUAUAUAUAUGUUGUUAUUUAUCAAGUGUUCAUUAUAAGUAUCAAUCAUAAUGUUCACUUUUAGUGAUUUUUAUGUGUGAACUUCAGUGCAAGACAAUUUUGAAUGAGCCCUUUAGUUCUUGUUUAUUUUUAAGUGUUCAUGGUAUUGUUGUUUUCAAUCUUGUCUUUCAGGUUAAAUAACUCAGUGUUUUUUUGAUAAAGUCAAGUCUGCAGGUGUAACUGCAAUUGGAUCUAAAUGCCCCAAGAUAGAGAAAGGUGGACUAAGUUAAAAUUGUUGGGAUUCAGGUAAAAAAUAGGUCACAAUCUAAAUGAUUAAUACAAUUGCAUCAUAAAAUGAAGCUUCAACAUUGAUAAAAAGAUAAAUUAUUGAGAAGUUCCCUAUUGGAAUCAUUACCCCGUUACUUAAACAAAUAUUUCUAUGAAUAAUACUGAACCUGAAAUGAUAUGUACUAAGUCGUAGGAACAAAAACUCAGUAAACCAUGAAUAAUACUACUGGUACAGUUGUAUAAUGAUGCUUGACUUUAUAAUGAAUCCAAAAGAGCAACACAAUUUUAGGAUGAUUGACUGAUUUUUUGGGAUCACUCGAGGUAGCCCAAACGUUGCAGAUUAUUAAGGCCACAUGAUCGCUGAAUCCUAUGGUUGCAUUGACAUGAGCGUAGUAGUGGUGAUUGAUUUGGAUAGAUCACGAUCACCUGGAAGAAGAGCAGGAGCAACACAUCCUCCGAUCCACCACCAAUGGAUAGAUAGGAAUGCACCUGGAAAAAAAUAUAUUGAAUAGCGUUCACUAUUUGAAAACUGCCAUGCUUCACCGGCCUUCCAAAUCCCCUGAAAAUCCAAUUCGAACCACUCAUCGAAACUAUACGACAAAGACAUACUGCGACUUCCAGUAACAUAUAUACGAGCUGGAACCAAGGUGGCCGCACAUGACUGGUAAGGACAGCCGUCGUCACUUGAACUGUUGAACACCAGAGGCGCGUCCUCCACCACCAGUCCACCGCGAAGUAGUCUUGCAACAAGCUACUGUCCCUAAACAGCUUAAAAAGCGGAAGAAAGAUGCUUUAUUAUGUCUAAUCAUUUUCACACAAGUUCAUCAUCCUUCUAUAGUUUAUUAUCUAGAUACUCAAAUCUCAUCCGAUCCUAUCCCUUUCAUCUGUUGCAUAAUCAUAUUGAGCGUUCAACUUUUAACAUAGCUGUCGCAUAAACUGUUUAAGAAAAAUAACGAAGCAACAUAGUCCAAUCCUAAAAAAAAUACAUGCCCAAUCUCUUCGUCAAUCUGAUUUACCCUAACCCUAGAUGCAUCAUACAUAUGUUGAAAUCGAACUACCUACAAGAGCUGAGUUCCCUUUUCCUUCACCGGAGGUGUAGUUCAUCCUCUUCUUCAUCCAUGCUGAUGGAGAAGAGAGGGAGGGCAGGGGUGCCUUUCUGCUUAGCACAAAAGAGGGCGGGGGGGGGGGGGGGGGGGGUGAGCAGGCUCCGGCUGCUCGAACCAGAGGGAAUCGACAUGCUUACCUGGAAAAGAAGGGAGGACAUGGUAGGCAUAGGCGGGAGCACCGCAUGCCGCUAGCCAGUGGCGGAGGAAAGGGGAGGGCCACUAGGGCCAUGAUCACAGGCGACAGUCCAUUUCCUCCACGCUGUAGCCCACUGUAGCAUGAAGACCCAGUCUAGCCCGGUUGGCCCAUGGAAUGGCGCUAGGCGUUAGGCUGGCCCAGCCCCUACUGCUAGGGAGCAGAAAUUCUAUCCAUCUUCCGGAAGAUAGAAAGUCUACUUAUCUUUCGCUUUUCGUGCAUGUGGUCAAAGUGAACGGCUGCAUCUCUUUUCCCGUCUCUCCUGUCGCAUGCUCGGAGAUGAGUAUGACAACACGUCAGGGCAGGCAUGCAGAAAGGAUGGGACAGCUAGCAGGUUGGUUGCUAGCCUUGGGACGUUUGAUUUUGAACUUCAAAUCUGAUUUUCUCACUAAUGCUGCAUCCAAUUUUAAUUCCAUUUAAACCAUAGUGUUUAUUAUAAUUUUUUUAACAAAAUGAGCUCUAAUAUGCCUAUAUUAUUAAAAUUUUGAAAUAUCAACAUUUUACAUAUUCAAAUUCAACAUUUUAGAUAUACUACUUCAACAUUCUAGAUAGACUAUUUCAAUAUUUUCAUAUAAACUGUUGAAUUAGUUUAUCCAAAAUGAUGAACUUAAUUUAAAAAAUGUUAGAUAUACUAAUUAAAAACGUUGAAUAUUUUCACUAGUGGAAAUCAAUGCAGAGGCCAAAUACGUCAUAAAGGGAGUUCUGUGACAAAUUUGUGAUGAAUUUUCCUUCGUCGUACAAGUCACGUCGAGUUAGAUCUACCAUGACGAACUUUCAAAAAUGUCAUAGAAUGGUUUUUUCUAUGACAGAAAAACUUUCAGCGCGAAAGCAUAUUUUGGUUCUGUGACGCGUCGAAAAAUGUCACAGAACUACCGGAUCCACGUGUUCCGGUCCACGCUGGCACUUGUCAUGGCAUCGUCCACACUGGCAAGUGACGUGGCUAGGACACGCUAGCACGCCACGUGGCUUCGUCCAUGAUGGCAAGUGACGUGGCCAGGACACGCUAGCAUGCCACGUGGCUUCGUCCACGCUGGCAAGUGAUGUGUCAGGCGGCACGUGCCGCAAAGGGACCGACAUGUGGCGAGCUAGCAUAAGGCCACGUGGCGUGCUAGCAUUAUGCCACAUGUCCUCGACACAUUUGGACACAUGUCAUCUUGCAACCUGGACCACGUGUCAUAUCAAGACAUGGCCACGUGUCGGUUUCCUAUUUGUCCAUGGGUCAUUUCCUAUUUGUCCACAUGUCGUUUUCCUGCUCGCCCAUGUGUCCUCGCCUAAUUCGGACACAUGCCUCUUUCCUAUGUGUCCACGUGUCAUUUUACUGUUCUUCCACGUGCCCUUCUCCUGUUCGCCCAUGUGUCAGUUGCCUGUUUACCCACGUGUCUUUUUCCUAUUUGCCCAUGUGUCCGUUCGGUUUCUGCCAAGUGUCUCUUGCCUGUUUGUCCAUGUGUGCUUGCCUGGUUCAGUCACGUGUCUUUUCCUGGUUCGGUCACGUGUCGGUUCCCUGUUUGUCCAUGUUUCCGUUCCUAGCUUGUCGACGUGUCAUUUUCUUGUUUGCCUAUGUGUCCUUUCCUCGUUCUACCACGUGUCGGUUCCCUAUUUGUCCACGUGUCCGUUCCUAGCUUGCCCACAUGUCAUUUUCCUGUUUGCCCAUGCGUUAUGCCCAUGCUAGGCCACGUGGCAUUUCCCCAUGGGACACGUGUUCUUUUCUGGAUAUUACACGUGCCAUAUCAUACAUGUCCACGCCAUACAAAACCAUUUCAUCAUAGAAUAACAAAUGAUACAAUAGAAUUAUUCCACAAAUAAGUUACAACCAAAUAAGUUCAUGACACCACUAAAAUUAGCUAAUUGACUAUUCAGAAGCACACUACGACAUAACACAAUCACCGGAGGUCAUGACUACAGUUCCACACACAUAGGAUCGGGGCUGAGAAGAGGUACCAAGGUUGUUCUGGGUCAGGAGCUGUGAAAGCUGCGAAAGGAUACGAUUGCUAUCUUCUUGUUUCUUUUCAGCUCCUCAUACUGUCUUUGAGUUCUCGCCAGCGCUUCUUUAGUUUCUUCACUCUGCUUCUUUAGUUCUUCCAAUUCUUUAUGCAAAACUGCUGAACCUUGUCUUUCAGCAGCAAGUUCUUCAUGAAGUGCUUCUUCACCAGCUGACGGAUACUUUGAGGAGGGAGUGGCUAUACCAGCAUUCUUCAAGAAAGUGGUGUUGGAGCUGUUCUGGGAGAGGACCUUGGAAACAACCUCAGCACUAGCCAAUCUUGGCUAUCCAUCAGCAACAGCUUCUGCCUGCAUAGUUUCCUUUAACGUCUAGAAAAUGUAAAGAUGAACUAUUAGUUUACUAACUAUACUAAAAAAAAGGAGUACAUUAAACAAACUAGGAACAAAGCCUGAUUGGAUAACUGCUACUAAAUAUUGUUAAUAUAACACACUUCCAAAAUAAGGGGCAGCCAUGCACGUUAGCAAUAUAUGAUGCAUCAUGUACAGAGAGUGUUGGACAAAGAAGGAUGAAAGUCUUGCAGAAGGGACUUACAACUGUGUCUCUAGCCACGGCACCCAUACCCUUCUUGCUGCUAGUAUGGCAGACCUUGAAGGCUUCCACGGCAUCCAUUUCUUUGUCAGCUUCAUCAAUUUGGUGCUGGGGUUCAUCGUUGUUGACUUCAGUGUGUUCAACCUCGUUGUUCUUGUUCUUGUUCUGAUGUACAAAAUGCAUGAAUCAAACUUAAUGAAUAAUGAGACUUUCCAUGAGAGACAGACUGAAGUGCAAGUGUGUAUGUGUGUACUUAUUUAAGGAAGUAGAAGAAUGGAAAGGUUACAUUAGAAGCGUGUUGACACUUACAUAUGAAUGUAAUUGUGCAACGUAGCAACGAGAUCCUGUUGCUGGAGGAAAUAGGACUCUGGCCUGGUUUGGCUUGUUCCAGUAAGAAACUGCCUGCAAGAGAUGUAUGUGUUAGUCUCCAUCAUAAGUACAUAUUCGGAGGCACAUCAAGAGAAAUUACCUUGUUGUGUGCAUUUGACCACUUGUCAACAAGUUGACACCACUGUGCAUCAACCAUGUUGGAGAUAGGAGAGAUUGUGGGGAUCUCAUUUGCAGGGAUGCCAACAAAGUAUUGCUGCUUCAACUUAUACUGCCUCGGUUGUAUGGAUGACUUGAACACACUGACACAAGCAUCUGCUAUUGGUUCGUGCCUUGUGUCAAUUGCUAACCUGCCAUAGUGAUUAGAAUUGAAAUCCGAGUUACACAAGGGCCAUGUAAGAGUUGGAUGUAAAAAGGGACUAGUAGAUAGGCACUCACAAAUAGCCUUACCACAAAGCCAUCAAAAUAUUCAGACCAUGCUUUGUAUUCUUUCCAAUGGGUCAAGAUAGGAACUUGAGACCUAACAGCAACACCAACCACUUAUGCAAACUUGGCAGCUUGCAUCGGAUCAUGCGACCUUUGGUUCCCCUCAGCAACAGAGAUGGGCAUCCUUCUCCUCAUAGCUUUGUUCAUCUUGUCAAGCAUAAUUCUCCGUGUUGCUUGCCUCACCUUCCUUGGGCCACCUCUUUGUGUAGGUGCUGCAGAGAUUUCAUUCAAAUUCUCAUCAUUCAUCAAAUAUAAAACCAUCAGCACUAAAAAGCUUUAGGGUCAAUGAACCAACCUUCAGUUCUGGAAUCCGACUGUCCAGAGUUGGUAUUCCAUCCUGUCUCAUCUUCGUUGAGGCCAUUACCAUCAUCUGGACAUGGUGUCCAGUCUCAAAAAGGACUUGAACAACCAUUCAAGUCCUUAUGACAGCUAGUGUUUUCUGCAACUGCUGGCGAUUCUUCCUGCACAACAUUGUCACCACCGCUACUGUUUUCUACAAUUGUCGGCAAUUCUUGAUGCACACGCCGUUGAGGUGCUCCUACUAUGUGCAGCCUUUUUAGUAUCCUUGAUGAAGCUCCAAGAGUGACAUCUGUUGGUGGGAUUGACCUCACCCUCUUGGAUUGUCUUCCUCCUCUUCCAGGAGCCAUGGCAACACUUCUUCUCUCCCUCUUUGCACAUGCCUUCCUACAUCUAGUUCGCACAGGGGCUUGUAGAUUUCAAAAGGCAUAAGUUGUAACCAUGUGAAUAAAUUAGAAGCACUUAUGAGCAGUGGAAAUAUGUAGUCCCUGCAUUGGAAAUAACUAGUGCUGCUUCUAACCAUCAAAGAUAUCUAGUCCAUGCAUCCCCCGCCCCACAGCCAAGAUAGAAGAUGCACCUCAUUUGCUAGGGGUGUCGGCUCCUCCUCUAAGUCCGAAUCAUCAUCACCAUCAUCGGGCUCCUCAUCUUCAAGGAUGUAAUAUGAUAAAUCAGACCCUUCGCCAUGACAAGCAUCCCUGCCUAACCUUUUCCGCUUGCUACCUUGACUUUUACCCUUUGAAGUUGUUUCUUUCGAGACAAUGAACUAAACUCUGUUGAUAAACCACUCACGCCAAGCUCCUCCAUUAUUCUGUUAUUUUCCCUGAUGCGGGCUUGCCGUUUCAUUUCGUAUUCACGGGCUUCCCAUUGCCAAUCGUAUUCACUUUGUGUAGGGUCUUACAUGUGUGAAACAGAUUUCAAGUAUUAGGGAGCUAGGUUGAUUACAUAUUCAUGUUUGGAAGUAAAAUGCAGACCCACUAGAACUUCCAAUCACGAAUUGUGGAUGAAUGUGUCCCUACCUAGAACCACAGAAGGUAGUUGGAUUUUUCAUACCUCUUGCUGCUCGGCCUCGGCGUUUGACCAUUGUUGGGGUAGCUGCACGUCAAAGAUGGUGAGGCUGCUACGAUUCUGCGGUCGUCAUCGAUGUUGUGGCAGAUCCAGUGCGACGGGCAUUGUCAAAGGUUUACCAGAUCUGGUGCGGCGGUAGUCGGCGAUGGGGAAGCAGAUCCGGUGCGGAGGUAGUGGCCGACAAGGAAGCUGAUCCGGUGCGGCGGUAGGUGCCGAUGGGGAAGCAGCUCCAGUGUGCUCAGCGUUGUCGAUGCGAUUGAAGCUCCAGUGCUGUGGUCUCUGGUGGAGCGGAGGGGUCGAGUGCCGGCGUGUUGGAGCCUACCAACGCAGAGGGGAAAGGCGAGAGGUGGAGGCGGAACUGGACGGAGGGAUGGAAAAGGGGCAAUGGAUAUGGGGCGCGUGAGGGAGACUGUCACAAAUACCCUUUAGAGUUUGGUUACCGCCGUAGUGGUGUGGCUUUUGCUUGAGGGUACAAGGGACAUUUUGGGGGAAAAGUUUUCGGCUUCGGCGGGCAGAGUUGGCACCCGGUGAAAAUUUCAGACCAUGGUGUCCCUCUGACCCACGGACCCCACAUGUCGGUGUUCUUAGAAUCCCUUAUUAUUGCCGCGACCAUUUCUUGUGAACAAGACUCUUUCUCUUUUGAAUCUCCAAUUUGAAAUUUGGAUUAGUCUUUCUCCCUCUUACAACCUUGAAAUGACUUCAUUCUUUUUGUAAAGUGCAUCUAAAAUGAAGCUCGAUCCAAUCAUUGCUCUGUGUCACUCUCUUUCUAUGCAAAUGCACUCUUUUUUGAAAAUGCCAUGGUUAUUUUCACUCUAGCUUUUUCCAUGAAUGUGAAAACAUACGCAUCAAAGUCACUAGUGUUCAUCACACACAGAUGCAUAUCGAAGCACUUGUGCUCAUCACAUAACAAAAGUAAAAUCACACCUACAUUCUACCUCAACGCAUAACCAACCCCCAUGGCAACAAGGGCUACAACCAUGAUGAUGGAGAAAAUCAUAGUUUGGGUCAAUUUAUCCACCUUUGCUUCCAACUCGUUGCUCUUCAACAUGCCACCACCUGCUGCAGGGCUCCCAGCAGCAUGAAUCUGCUCCAUGGACUGGAAUUCUUGAAUCUCUUCUUCAUCAUCAAAAUGUACGUCGACCAUCUUUACUUUCACCAAAUCAUUCGAGUAACCCCUCUGCCAUCUGAACUAGCCACAACACUGAAUGAACAAGAAACACUUGCUUAAACCCUAUCAAAGAUCUCAAAGCACAAAAACCAAAUCUAAGUUGAAUCCACUCAUCGGGCAUUUGACAUACACCCGACCGAUGUUCUCAUUCUCCUUCUUCGACCGGGCCUCACGCACCCUUGCCCUCUUGCAGCUCCUGCAAAUCAUCAUGGGCAAGAAAAUCUCCUCGUCAACAAUCUUUGGCAUUUUCCUUCACCCGGAUGAGGACUCUGCAAGAUGCGACAUCCUUACGCGCCGGCGGCAGAGGCAGGCGGUCAACAAGGCUAGAUUCCGGCGGCAAUGGCGAGCGGCGAGCAGAGAAGCAGCAGUGAGGUGCAUCUGGCUCUGGUAGGCCUAAAGGAUAAGGUAGGGAUAGAAGGAUCCUUUGGCGUGGGAUGUGCCAAGACACGUCAACAACCUAGGCUUAAACGCAUUGUGAGUGAAAUCCUGAAUGCAUGGAAAUUACUUAAAUAUCCCUAAGCAUCUCCCCCUUCCCUGCCUACUUGUCUUCCUCUUCCUUGUAACACCCUAGGUGUUUAAAAUCCUAAGCAAGAAAACCUAAACAUAGCAUCUUGCAUAAUAACCCAGAAUCAUUGAAACAAUGCAUUUAAUUAUGGGUGUGAAUAUGCAUGUGUAUGUGCAUGAGCAUGUAUGUGUGCAUAUGAGGUUUUUCAUAAAUAUGUUCAUAAACAUAUAUGCUCAACUUGUCAUAACAAAAUGUAGCAUAAAAAUACACUCAUAUUUUAGUACCUUACAAAGUGUACUUCAAACACCAUUUGCAAAUUCAAAUUUUAAACACAUAAGAUGAAUAGGAAUUCAAAUCCUAGUAGUCUUAAAUUUAAGAUAACUUCUUAACUAAAGCUCAAAUGAACUUUGAUCCAAAACUAAAGUCGUAGAGUUUCAAAUUCUCUACAACUUUCAUGAUGGCAGAUUUCAAAGUUUCUUUGCAAACUUUUGAGAAAAAUUCAUUUGAACCCGGGCCCUCACUCUUUCUCUCUCUUCCUUUACUCUCCUUCUCUCUCUCUCCCUCCCCUGUUCUAAAACGUCGAGAGGUAGGGGCCGCCGGCCACCUAGAUGGCGAUGCCUGCUGGCGAGCUGCACCAAAGGGUAGUGCCCCGACAGGCCUCGGUAGGCCCGCGGCCGAAUCACCCUCCCCUACCCCAAACCCACCCAUGCUCGAGGUGCACACGCCACUGUUAUCGCCAUAAUUUAGCUGGGCCAGAAGGUGGGCCGUGAAGCAAGAUGGGUUCAAAAGAUAAUCGUAGUGGGCUUGCAAAUCGGCCCUGUGCGGGCGUUUGAGGCCAGUAUUGGCCAUGUAUCUAGAUAGGUGUGUGCGUUUAAAAUAGUUAGAUAGAGAUAGCUAGAAUUCAUGUUGUAGUUAGUUAGGAUUGGUUAGGGAAGGCAAGUCUCCGGACUAUAAAUAUGUACCUUGGAUUAUGAAUAAACCAUGAAGAAAACAAUCAUUCACAACUACUCUCGGCGCAUCGCCACCCCUAUUCUAGGGUUUCUCGGGUAAGUGCCGUGCAGCCCCGAUCACGCUACGCGUCGCGUGAUCAGGGCAGCAUCGUUCCUGCCUGUCUACCUUUGUGUUUCUCGUACUAAAGCGUUGUUGAUGGUGAGUGACACUAGUUAUAUUGGCGUUUAUAGAGUAGCAUCAGCUCUUUCAUAUUUUAUUCAUGCAUCGUUUGUUACAUAUAAAUGUUUAGCUGUCCUUGUGUUCGAUCUCGGAUGUAAGGGCAGCACCUUGCUCUGUUCUUGUUUAGUAGAUCCAAUCCGUUAUGGUUAGUCUUCGUUCAUCGAAGAUUUAGCUUAACAUCUACAUGAUUAGACCCUUCAAACGGGUUGAAUGUUCCAGCAGUACGAUUGAUGCUUUGUAUCAACCUAAAGAGGGAUUGUUUCGGGAAUCGGCUCUCUGUUGGUUUUUAGGCCUCUGUUUAGGUUGCUAUUCUGUUACCUUUCAUAUCUGUUAGGCUCAAUUACGUGUAGGAUGUUUCGGUUAUGCAGUGAAAGCUUUAACCGUUGUAGAUCAGAUUAGCUUACUAGUUGCAGAGCAAGUUUUAUUUUACCAUCGGAUAUGCGUGCUUUAUUCAAAUACUUAGAUCCGAUCUGAUACUGGAGAUAAUCGGCUCUUUACAGCCGAUAUCGGGAAUUGCCUGAUGAGCCGAUCACGGCUCGGACUAAUGUUUACACGUGUCUGUGCAUGCAAAAAACUAACAUAAAUCACUUCUACACCUUCCUGAUCAGGUAUAAGGUGAGGUGGCUCGCCUAACAACCCGGACGCCAGGUCGUGUGCCGGAUCCUGGGCCAUUGACCGAGGGACUGGGGCUCACCAGCAGUCCCAGGAGCCUCUUGGCUCCUCGUGUUGCCUGUCGCUGCUGGCCGGUGGGUUUUGACCGACAACACAUUCUGGCACGCCCAGUGGGACCAUCUUCAUCAACUACAUCGACUUCUGCUGAUGGGAUGAUGAGGGAGGAUCCGAUCAUGUACAGGUAGUUGCCUGCUGAGCACAAGCAGAAAUAAGACAAGAUCAAGGCUCUCUUUGAAGCCGAUCUCAUCGGCUCUUUCGAGAAGACCCGCCACCACGGCGUUAGGUGGAAGGGGGUUUUCACCUAAAGGCACUCUUGAUGACGUGGACCUGUCGACUCCUUCAGAAGAUCGUACCAAAGCUCUGCGCCAGGAAGUAAACUACAUGGUGGCCCACUCGCUGCAUCGGCACUCCGAGAGCCUGGUGAACGCUUUCGAGCGUGUCGCGCUGCGCGUGGUCCAGGAGAUCAUGAAGCAUCAAUACUCUCCAACAGGACCAACCCUGGGGAGUCAUAAGGGAGAAUUGCCAUUCCAGGCCAAACCACCGCUGCCUUAUGCGCUCGCGGCUCUGGAGUUACAUGGCUCCCAGCCUACGUCGUCUACAAGGUGGGAGGUGACCCUGUGGAUCACCAGUUCUUCAGCAAGCUGCCAAAGGAGAUCCCGCACGGAUACAUGUGUGCUUAUAUACCAGACAGCAAAAAACCAGUACAUUCGGUGCAGAGGGCGGCUGGAGGAGUUUCCAUGGCAGAUGUUGACAAACAAGUGUGGCUAGCUGCUUAUGCCACCGGGCCGAGUCAUGACAGUACGCACUCGGCCCAGGAGCGCAGACGGUAGACCAGAUCAGUGCCAUCUUAAGAGAUCAAUUUGGCAUUCUACCAAAGAGGAGGACGAUCGACUAUACUAAGCCGUAUCCCAGUGACUAUGAUCUAAUUCCCCUGCCACCCAAGUAUCGGCUCCCUGAGUUCACCAAGUUCAGUAGAGCGGAAGGAUCUAGCUCCAUCUAGCAUGUGAGCCGGUACAUGGCGCAAUUAGGAAUGAUCUCGGUGUCGGAUCUCUUGCGAGUAAGGUUCUUCUUGCAGUUUCUCACAGGGCCAACCUUUGGAUGGUACACAUCAUUAGGCCCUGAUUCCAUCCGCACCUGGAAGCAGCUGGAGGAACAGUUUCAUAUUCAAUAUCACUCGGAAGCUACAGAGGCAGGGAUUGCCGACUUGGCACAAGUACGGCAGAAGCAUGGGGAAAUCGUAGCGGAAUAUAUCCAACGGUUCAGAGAGGUCAAGAACCGAUGCUACUCGACCCGUAUUUCAGAGAAGGAGGCGGUCGAGUUGGCAUUCUUGGGACUCCUAAAGCCAAUCAAGGAUCUGGCUUUCCAAUUGGAGUUCAAUUCCUUGGCGCACUUUGUGCAAAAGUUAACAACAUAUGAGCAGCGCCACCUAGAACUAUACCAGGACAGGUUCAAGCGUCAAGUAACAUUGAUCGACAUAGAAGACGCUGAGGAUUUUAGGGAUGACCAAGAAGUAGCAGUUGCAAAAUGGACCCGUGGGGCAAAUCCUAUGUCCUAUAAGUGGGUGAAACAGCAGGGACCUGCAAAAGGUUUUGACUUCGACGUGAGCAAAGUUGAAUAGAUAUUUGAUCUAUUAUUGAAGGAGAAGCAGUUGAAGUUACCUGAAGGCUGCAAGCUUCCUAUAGCACAAGAGUUGCAAGGGAGAUCGUAUUGCAAGUGGCAUCAUUCUUUCACUCACAAUACUAGCGACUGCAAAGAACUCCGUCGCCAGAUCCAAUCGGCUAUCAAGAAAGGCCGAUUGAUCUUAGGUCAAACUGCCAUGAGGGUCGAUACCCAGCCUUUCCCAAGUGUGAAUAUGGUGGAGGGUUAUGACCGGUCUGCGAGGUGACAAUUAGAUUUCGCACUUGGCAUUAACAUGGCAGGGCUUGCACCACGCCGCCGCACCAGGAAUGAAGAGGCUGAUCCCUGCGAUCGGCCCCAAAAAGGGGAAAAGAGAUAUAUCACGGAAGAACAAGUAAGGCAUGUCAGGAAUCAAUGACCGGCUUCUUUAGAUCUCUUCAAAAGGUAUGAAUACCAGUACCAGCAACGUCUCCAGCGCGAGUCGGAGGAGGAAGAGUAUGAACGCCGUACUGGGAAAAGUUUGAAGAAGCGGGAAGAUACACGUGAUCAUUGGCAUUGCCCGUUCUUCAAGUAUUGCUGGGACUCUGGCAUGAGCCGAUUGCCUACUACUAAGGAUUGCCCAGAGUGCGGAUCCCGGAAGCGUGAUACAGAUGGGGUCUUGGCUUUUCGAUGAUUGGGACCUGUACCGACCCAGCAUGAGCAAAUUCAGCCACCACGCAGAAGGGUGGACUUUGAAGAGGAGGAGGAUAAGUAUCAUCGGCCGCGCUGGUGCCCCGAUGGACUUAACCAUUCCCAGAAAUGCAGGGUACAGCGGCUGUGCAGCCGGUAGGAAGCCGAGGCUAGAUAUCUUGAGACACUGAGGAAGGUGCGCCCGAAUUUGGUGGACAAAGUCCAUUACACUUAGAAAAGGGAGUCGCGCCCUCUCAAGAAGGAGUGGCAUCCAAAACCAACAAGAGCUGAUGUGAAGACCUCGGCUGAUGCACACAUGGUGUUCGUACUCCCCACGGAGUUCCACGCUCGAGGGCGUGAAGAAUUACCAGUAGCCCAGCUUGACUUGGGGCCACGGCCAGUUAUAUUUGAGAAGUCCCGAGCAAAGAACUACAAGCAUUUGAAGGCUUUAUAUCUCAAGGGUUACAUAAACGGCCAACCUAUCAACAAGAUGUUGGUCGACAUAGGAGCGGCAGUUAACAUAACGUCAUAUUCAGUGCUUCGUCAGUUGGGGCGGUCCACUGGAGAUCUGAUCAAGACCAACAUCACGCUGAGCGAUUUCAAUGGCCAAACAUCAGAGGCACAAGGCGUCCUUAGUGUGGAUCUGACCGUUGGAAGCAAGACUGUCCCAACCUCUUUCUUCAUCAUCAAUAGCAAGAGUACAUGCAAUGUCCUACUUGGCAGGGAUUGGAUCCAUGACAACUGCUACAUCCCUUCCACAAUGCAUCAGUGUCUAAUUCAGUGGGAUGAAGAUGAAGUAGAGGUGGUUCAUGCAGAUGACUCGAUGAGCAUCUGGGACGCGGAGGACCAAGAGCUGAUCUUAGGGAUCAGUUUGGAAGGCUGUGACCGCGUCAAAGCUACAAAAAAUGGGGUGAGGCUGGUCUUAUCCACUGGCCUUACAGAGUAGACAGAACACAAAGAGCGAGCUGCUCUGACGCACUCGGCAAGGCCGAUCCCGAAAAAUAAAAUGUAAAUUUUUGAUGACAAGUGUUUUAUAUGAUCAUAGCAGUUACAGGGAGGCCCACUCUAGCAGCCGGCCAUACUUCAAUUGUAAAAUUUCAAAGAUCAAUGAAGGUUAUAAAGUGGCCGAUCUCAACGAUCAGCCAAAAUUCUUUUUGUUAUCUUCUCUGUCCAUCUGCAGCAUUGACUUAACAUAUAACGGAAAAUUAGGAUACGGGUUUACAUCAGCUUACGAGCUCGAUGAAAUGGAUAUUGGUCCUGGGGAUAAGCCACGACCAAUAUUUAUCAGCAAAAAGUUAAGCCCGUGUCUAUGAGAGCCAAUGAUAGCUUUGUUGUAGGAGUACACAGAUUGCUUCGCCUGGGAUUAUACGGAGAUGCCUGGGUUGGACAGAAGCAUAGUCGAGCAUCAGCUCCCUCUCAAGAAGGGAUUUCGGCCAUUUUAGCAGCGAGCGCGGCAAAUGAAGGCUGAAGUUUUGGUGGAGGUCAAGAAAGAGGUGGAGAAAAUGCUAGAAGAAGGAUUCAUCAGGCCUUGCAGGUAUGCCGAGUGGAUUUCAAGUGUCGUACCUGUGCAAAAGAAAGAUGGCUGAUGGCGAGUCUGUGUGGACUUCAGAGAUCUCAACAGGGCUACUCCAAAGGACGAAUACCCGAUGCCUAUCGCGGAGAUAUUGAUCAACGCAGCUGCUGGUCAUAAGAUCUUGAGUUUCAUGUACGGCAAUGCUGGCUAUAACCAGAUCUUCAUAGCUCCGGAGGAUAUAAACAAGACCGCGUUCAGAGUGCCUGGGGCAGUAGGACUAUUUGAGUAUAUGGUUAUGACCUUCAGGUUAAAGAAUGCUGGCACUACUUAUCAACAUGCCAUGAACUACAUUUUCCAUGAUUUGGUCAGCAAGUUGGUGGAGAUUUAUAUUGACGACAUCGUGGUGAAAUCUGCGUCGGUUGAAGGGCACUUGGGGGACCUACGACAAGUUUUAGAAUGAACAAGAAGGUUCAGCCUUAGGAUGAAUCCAAAGAAAUGCGCUUUCGGCGUAUCAGCCGGUCAUUUCUUGGGUUUCUUGGUUCAUGAAAGAGGAAUAGAGAUCGGCCUAAAGAGUCAAGAAGCUGUGAGAAUGAUGGUGCCACAUACUAUGAAGAGGGAGCUCCAGCAGCUUAUUGGUAAGAUCAACUUUGUCAGAAGGUUUAUUUCCAAUCUCUCUGGGCGGAUUGAGCCUUUUAUGGAGUUGGUGAAAAUUAAAGCCAAUGAAGAGUUUUGCUGGGGGGUAGAGUAGCAACAGGCAUUUGAAGAGAUCAAGGAGUAUCUGUCAAAACCACCCAUGUUAGUUCCACCCCAACAAGAUAGGCCAUUCUAUGUGUACUUAUGAGUAGGUGACACCUCCAUCGCUUCAGGAGUAAUGCAAGUGCAUGACGGCAAAGAGAGGGUUGUGUUCUACCUUAGCAGAAGAAUGUUAGAUGCGGAGACAAGGUACCUUGACAUUGAAAAGUUAUGUCUUUGUCUAUUCUUUACAUGCACAAAGCUUCAUCAUAUCCUGCUAUCAGCCGAGACAAUCGUCAUCGUCAAAUCAGAUGUUAUCAAGCACAUGCUAUCGGCUCAUGUGUUGAAAGGCCGACUUGGAAAGUGGAUGUUUGCAUUGUCAAAGUUUGAUAUCCGAUACCAACCCAUGAAGGUAGUCAAAGGACAGGCACUGGCAGAUCUCAUCACAGAAAGGAUCAACACUGACAUAGCAGCACUCUCCGUACACACAUGAGCUAUGUACUUUGACGGAUCGGCUUGUGGAGAUGGAUGUGGCAUAGUAUCCUGCUUGUGUCGCCUUAGAGGGCAACGUAUUCUUUUUCAAUCAGAUUACCUACCACUUGCACCAAUAAUCUAGUAGAAUAUGAAGUGGUGCGUAAGGGUAUGGAGUUGCUUCUUGUGGCCGGAGCUGAAGCAGUGGAAAUUUUUGGGGAUUCAAAGUUGGUGAUUUCUCAGCUCACAGAGGAGUACAGGUGUGAGAGCGAGUUGCUCUUCCCAUUAUGGGUACAAUGUCAAGAGCUGAUGGCCCAAUUUAGGUAUAUAAAUUUCUAUUGGAUACCUAGGAUGCAAAAUUCAGAGACUAAUGAUCUUGCAUAGAUGGCUUCAGGAUAAAAGGCUGUGAUGGAUAGAGCUGAUCUAAAGGGAUACCUACUGGACCAAGGAGAUUGAAGAGCCGAUAUCUUCAAUUACUUGAAGGAUUUGGCUCGGGGAGCACCCAAGAGGAUACGAUACAAGGCCAUGAAAUACAUUCUGAUAGGGGAUGACAUGUUCUACAGGACUUUAGAAGGUUUAUUGCUCAAAUGCUUGGGGCCGAUUGAAUCUAAUCGGCUCUUACACGAAGUCCACGAAGGCACUUGUGGGACUCACCAAUCGGCUCAUAAGAUGAAGUGGCUGAUUAGGCGAUCGGGUUAUUACUGGCCCACCAUGCUUGAAGAUUGCUUCAAAUAUUAUAAAGGAUGUCAGGCAUGUCAGAGGUUCGGGAAAAUACAGAUGGUACCAGCAUCAGUAAUGAACCCUAUCAUCAAACCAUGGCCGUUCAGAGGCUGGGGUAUGGACAUGAUCGGCAAGAUUAAUCCUCCAUCAAGUAAAUGCCACCACUUUAUCUUGGCCAUCACAGAUUAUUUUACCAAGUGGGUGGAGGUAGUUCCUAUGAAGUCAGUAGCAUCUAAGGAUGUCAUUAAUUUUGUCAAGGAACGUGUCAUUCACAGGUUCGGGAUUCCUCAAAUCAUCACAACAGAUGGAGGGUCAGUUUUUAUUUCAGAGGAGUUCAAGAAGUUCACUUCUGACAUGGGCAUCAAGCUGAUUAGGUCAUCUCCAUAUUAUGCCCAAGCAAAUGGACAAGCUGAAGCGUCCAAUCAGAGUCUUAUCAAGUUGAUCAAGAAAAAGAUCGAUGAGCAUCCUAGGCGUUGGCAUGAGGUCUUAUCAGAGGCAUUGUGGGCAUAUCGUAUUUCAUGCCAUGGAGCAACAAAAACUUCUCCUUGUGUACGGGCAGGUGGCUGUAUUACCAUGGGAGAUUAUGGCGGCUCGAGGCGCAUAGAGUUCUAAAAUGACUUAACAGCUGAAGAGUAUGCUGCUCUGAUGAGCAACAAUAUUGAGGAUCUCACGGAGCUCAGACUUUGGUCACUUAAGAAGAUCAAAGAAAAUGAGGCCAAAGUAGCCCGUGCGUACAAUAAGAAAGUCAAGCCAAAGGAAUUCCAAGUUGGAGAUCUGGUUUGGGAAGCGCUGCUACCAUUGGGGACUAAAGAUGCGGCGUAUGGCAAAUGGUCUCCAAACUGGCACUGGCCUUAUAGGGUUGACCAGGUCCUAUCUGGGAACGCAUAUAUGCUUGAGGAGUUAGAUGGCGUCAAGUUCCCGGUGGCGGUCAAUGGUCAACAUCUCAAGAAGUACUUCCCAAGUAUGUGGGAUGAUGAGCAAUAAAGCCGAUGCUACGCAUCAAUCCAUGAACCGAUACGAUCAGAUGGCCCGCACAAGAGAAAGCCGACGCUACGCGUUAGGAUAUGAGCCGACAGGACCUGAUGACCCGUACAGGUGAAAGCCAAUGUUACACAUCAGGCUGGACACAAAGAAAGAGGGCUGAUACGUGCAGUCGGCCCACAUAUAUAUAAAAAAAGUACUUUGUACCCAGCGCACUGAGUUGGUCGAAUCGCCGAUGUACAACCAUCGACUUUAGAAUCUUAAUUCGGAUACAUGCAGGUUUAUCUUACAAGGGAUGAUUACAAGGAAGUCUACUUAAGGAACUCAUCAAUGGCGGCGAUGGUUCAAGGCGGACGCGAUCAGCUUCAGCAAUCACUGCUUCAUCGUCCUUGUCCUCUCCUAACACCACCUACCUACUCAAAGCGCUCAGCUCUAUGAGUUCUAUAUUCAGUUGGGCGGUCAAGUCUUUUGCUUCUCGUUUGGAGCUGGCAAUAAGGUUCUUCUCUUCCUUGAUGCGCUGCAAUGUCAGAGGAUCACUUCCACUUGGGAGUUGAUUUCGCGGAGCCAGGCUGGAUUCGCAUGAUGGCCUUUGACGGGGGAGGUGCGUUUCUGCCAAAAAGGACCACGGGGGCAACUGGUGAAAACUGGAAGGUGGAGCCAUCAUCGUUCCUAGGCUCCGGACCAUCUUCUUGCUACAGAGAAAAUGAAUGGAAUCAGAGAAGGGGCUGAGUGGAGUUAGGAGGAAAUACUCAACUGUUGGUAAUACCUCUCCUUCAAGGGCUUCAUGUUCAGCAUCAAUCUAUUGCAGCAUCAGCCCUAGGGCUUUCCAGAAGACAUGAGUGUUCCACAAUGACCACCAGCUCUCGAAUCCGAUGGCUGAAGAGGUGAAUGAAAGGUCGACGGGGAUUGGAAGGAGAAGAUCAGUGAAUAGGCUGUAGCAUCUUUGGCUGGUAAGGGCAUCAGGCAGAUCAGCUCUACUUGUCGUCAAAUGGUGAAGGAAGAAGUGGGGAGGAACCUGCCCGAGACCAAAUUGCCGGGCUGCUACGACCGGCUGGUAGAAUUCAUAACCGGGCUUGAUGAUUCAGUUAGAGGUGCUCAUACCAACUGGAAGGAAGCACGGGCGAAUCAUGAUAGAGUAUAAAAGUCGAGUGCUAUCAUCAUUGGCAAAAUCAGCCAAUCUAAAGGUGAUUGGGUUCUCAAAAAUUUUAGAAUCAGUAUAGGGAAGGAAGAUAGGGUUGUCCAGACCCCAAUAGAAAAUCCUAAACCUGUUUGAAGCAGCUGAGGGGUUCAACUUGCUGCCAGGAAUACUGUAUAGAGCCUGGCCGAAACUGGUACAUCUGACUCGCCUCCCACUUUGAUCUGGAAUGGAAUUAUUGGCCAAAACAUGGAAGUUUGGUAUGAAAUCCUGAAAGUGUAGGUGAGCCCAUAACUGGAUGAACCACCAGGGACCACCGAUCCUGAGUUUCUUCUGGGUAAGUAGGCUCAAAGACAUCAAGUGGAGAUAUCUGUAGACUUCUCCAAGGAACAAUUUACCAAGGCCAACAGGAUUACCUUUGGCCAGUUCAUAUGCUAGGGGGAGAUAGUUCUUGGUUGGCGCAAGGGAAGGACCGCAGAAUAAGAAGUGUUCCAACCAAAGACUCAGAAAGGCCGUAUGUUCCUUCUCAGUCACAGGGCCUUUGGUUUUGAUAUGCUGGUUCAGGUAUGGACCCCAGUUUGUGCACUCUAUUUUGGAGGAUAGUUUGAAGGGGACUUUGGGCAGUCUGAAGGCAGAGGGGCAAGAUGAUGAGAUGUCCAAACCAGUAAUCAUCACUAUGUCCAGGAGGGUUGGAGUCAUCGGCCCGUGGCCAAAUAAGAAGCAAUUCAAGGCAUCAGACCAAAAGUAGCCGAUGGUUUUUAGAAGGUUCUCGUUCUUCUUAAGAGGAGAUAGAGACAGAGACAGAGCAUCGGCUAUCCCUAUGGUCUCCCAUGUGGGCUAGUAGAUCUUUGCUAUUCUGUUAUACCAGGUCACCCAGCCCUCGGGAGGAUUUGGCCAGGCACGUAGGCUGUCAGCCUAGGAAUCUAAAUCUAUGUUUUGGCUCACGAAUGGAAUUCGAUUGGCCUCACAAGAAAUCAGAUCUACGGGUUUCUCGUAAGAACGAGGCCUGAGACAAAAAGAAUUGGGGGAAGAAGGAUGCGGCAAAAGAAUAUUUGAAACCUGAAGAAACAAUAAAAGCCAAAUAACCGGAGAAAGAUCAUUUAAUGGUUCAAGGGAUCUAGUAAUUGCUGCAUUAAAUUAGCAAAGGUCGGAGUUUUACCUUCAGACCAAGGACGCCCGCAUCGGCAUUCAAAGAUCCUGCCAUCUGAAACCCCAAUGAAGAUCGAGAACCUGGAAACUGGAUCUAGGGUUGGUGGCGCAAGUUGAGUUCGUGCUCUAAGGCUUUGGUCCGGGUUUUUGCGAUUAUGGUUUAUGAGCAAAGAGUUUUGAAGAAUAACUUGGAUUUGGGAAAUCUUUGAAGAUCUGUUUUAGGAAGGUUCUGGAUUUAAGCAGAAAAUGGAAUUGAUUUCAGAAUCAACUUAGAUCUAGAUCAGCACUUUAAGGAAAGGAACCGAUGCGUUGCCAUCGGCUCCCAAGAGAUCAGCUUCUUGACAAGUUGCGGUUAAAAUAAAAGGAUUUUAUUUAUAAAGGGAAAUGGUUACAAAAGGGGAGCCGAUUGCUCCUAGAUCUACCACCAGUAGGUGCCGGAGAAAAAAAUGGUUUCAGAAUAAUUAUUGCCGAUGAAAAAGAAAAAAUGGUUUUAGAAUAAUUAUUGCCGAUGAAAAAGAAAAAAAUGGUUUCAGAAUAAUUAUUGCCGAAACCAGGGGGCAUAUGUUAUCGCCAUAAUUUAGCUGGGCCAGAAGGUGGGCCGCGAAGCAAGAUGGGUUCAAAAGAUAAUCGUGGUGGGCUUGCGAAUCGGCCUUGUGAGGGCAUUUGAGGCUAGGAUUGACCAUGUAUCUAGAUAGGUAUGUGCGUUUAAAAUAGUUUAGAUAGAGAUAGCCAGAAUUCAUGUCGUAGUCAGUUAGGAUUGGUUAGGUAAGGCAAGUCUCCAGACUAUAAAUAUGUACCUUGGAUUAUGAAUAAAAAAAUGAAGAAAACAAUCAUUCACAACAACUCUCGGCGCUUCGCGUGAUCGGGGCAGCAUCGUUCCUGCCUGUCUACCUUUGCAUUUCUCAUACUGAAGCGUUGUUGAUGGCGAGUGACACUAGUUAUCUUGGCGUUUAUAGAGUAGCAUCGGCUCUUUCAUGUUUUAUUCAUGCAUCGUUUGUUACAUAUAAACGUUUAGCUGUCCUUGUGGUCGAUCUCGGGUGUAAGGGCAGCACCUUGCUCUGUUCUUGUUUAGUAGAUCCAAUUCAUUAUGGUUAGUCUUUGUUCAUUGAAGAUUUAGCUUAACAUUUGCAUUAUUAGACCCUUUAAAUGGAUUGAAUGUUCCAGUAGUACGAUUGAUGCUUUGUAUCAACCUAAAGAGGGAUUGUUCCGAGAAUCGGCUCUUUGUUGGUUUUUAGACCUCUGUUUAGAUAGCUAUUCCAUUACCUUUCAUAUCUGUUAGGCUCAAUUACGUAUAGGAUGUUCCGGUUAUGCAGUGAAAGCUUUAACCGUCGUAGAUCGGAUCAGCUUACUAGUUGCAGAGCAAGUUUUAUUUUACCAUCGGAUAUACGUGCUUUAUUCAAAUACUUAGAUUCGAUCUGAUACUGAACACAAUCGGCUCUUUACAGCCGAUAUCGGGAAUUGCCCGAUGAGCCGAUUACGGCUCGGACUAAUGUUUACAUGUGUCUGUGCAUGCAAGAAACUAACAUAAAUCACUUCUACACCUUUCUGAUCAGGUACAAGGUCAGGUGACACACCUAGCAACCCAGACGCCAGGUCGUGUGCCGGAUCCUGGGCCGUUGAACGAGGGACCGGGGCCCACCAGCAGUCCCGGGAGCCUCCCGGCUCCUCGUGUUGCAUCUCGCUGCUCGCCGGUGGGUUUUGACCGACAACAGCCAUGCGGCUCAAUUCCUGACAGCCGAGCUACGACGUGCCGGUGACGCCACACCCUUGCCGCGGCCUUGUCCUGGCUGCACCUCCCUUGGCUUGGCUACGCCUAGCCCCUCCUCCCCUUUCCUGUGCACCUAUAAAAGGGUACCACCAUCGCCGCGCCAUUAGCACCACCGCUCGACCUCGCCGUUGAGCCCCACCUUCCGCUCCACUUCCACCUGAGUCAAGCCCCUGAAUCGGCUUCCCAUGGCCCCCUAAAGCUCCCUAACUUCCCGACGCUGCCCUUGCCUCAUCGGACAGCUGCUGGCGACCCACCUCCACACCGCCGCCCCACUACUCCCGCGUUGUCACACCCGGUUUAGAAAAGGGAAUCGAAUGCAUCUCAUAUGUGCGCCAGGAUCAAGUUCCGCAUGUAUGAUAGACCAUAGAAGUAUUAUAUCCGAAAUGAUGUCUUAACGAAAGAGAGUAUCAUAGUAUUUUAUUACAUGACCGAAAGUCUUAAUCUUAAACGAAUAAGUAAACGUUUAUAACUAGUAGCGGACUUCAAGUUCACAGGCAGAUGACUAGGAGACAUACGUCUAGUACUCUUCAAAAUCUUCAGGGAACUCCGGACAAUUAUCUUGAUCUGAGUAGCAUUGGUUUUAGUAAAGCAAGCGUGAGUACACUUAUGGUUGGUACUCAGCAAGUGGAUUAAAUUUUAUGACAUGCAAGGCCAAAAUCAAGGAAAAAGCUGAUAUGGUUUGAGUACGAUAAGCAUUUUUUGUUGAUCAAGUUUUAUUAAGCAAGCAUUAACUAAAUGUAAGUAUAUACCAACCCUUAAAUAAAUAAAAGAUAUAAGAUAACAACAAUAAAUAAAGAACAUCUAUUUAGAUCAUCUUUAAGUUCAAUUAUCAUGUGAGGGUCCAAGCCGCUCUUAACCGUGAGCACGGCUGAUAUAUCAGUUUUCACUCUGCAGAGGUUGUACACUUUACCCACAACUCGUGUUUCCCUUGAUGCCCAGGUUUGCAAAGCCCUCAAACACUUCCGAGGUGAGUGGCAGGGAUUCACUACGAAGCCUUUACAAAGAUUUCCUAACUUGCAAUAGUCCGCUAAGGUUUCAGGCCGCAGUGGUCAUAACCCUCCCUAAUGAGGCGGUACCUUAGCCAAGGACCAUAAACAAAGCCUCCAAGAGGACCGAGGUAUACCCCAUCAAUGCACUCCCCUCUUGCCCUUUCGAUAAGACCAUUACAUACUAAAGUUUCUAAUUAAUUAGCCAAGACCAGAGCCAUGUAGUAUUGUGGUUGCACUAUUUUCCUGGUAGGUUCUCCAUGUUCCAAUUAAUGCAAUGAUCUUAUUUAUCACCAUAAAAGUAUUCCAGAACAUGAGUAAACCAGUGUAGCAUGAGUUCAGGUUAUGCAACCAAAGUCUAGUAAAAGCAACUAGCGUAGCUACAACAUAAAUAUAACAACCCAGGUUUAAUCAAGGAUGUUCCAAAAGAAACUAGGCAUAUCCUUAGUUUGGGAUCCAUCAUAUUCAAGACACAUGCAUGCAUAUAAAGUAAAUGUGUGUAAUUAUAAAGUUAUUGGGACUGGAGUAUAAUCAAGGAGCACUUGCCUUCAUCAAAGAAUUGCUGCUGCUCGGGAACAUCUUCAAAGCUUUGCUCUUGCGGACCCUCAAAUUGCGCACCAUCUAUCGUAACACACAAGUACAUGCAAACAAACAAAUACAAUAAAUAAGAAAUAGUAACCAAACAAUAUAAACAGAGCAAAACAAUAUUAUAAAACUACUAUUUAUGUCGCAAGGGUCCCGUGAGCGCGAGAAUCGAUGAAAACGGAAUUAAAAUGGAGAAGUUAUAGCUAAAAUAUGAUUUUAGGGAUUUAUUUGUAAAAGAUUUGAAACUAGAAGGGCUCUGAACAAAGAAACCGAGGGCUAGAACAUAACUAAACCUUAGAUCUAGGGUUUAGAUUGCAAAAUAGAGGGGCUAGGGAUGGCGGGUUCUAUUUUAGAAAAGGAUAGGGGCCUAAACAGAAUAAAAGGUUCUAUUCAUGAAUACUUUUGAACUGCUGUGGACUUUGGGUUGAUUUCUAUGAAACUCAGGGGCUUAUGUGCAAAACAACCUAGGGUUGACCAGUAUCGGGUUUACUUGACUCGGGUUAGAUCUAAUAUAACCUGUUGGAUCGGGAUCCAACGGCUAGGGGCGGCUGACGGCGCGGGACGGCGGCAUUGGGCACCGGCGGCGAGAGUAGGCGGCGGCGGACGACGGCGGGCUCGCCGGACUUGGCCGAAAAUGGCCGUCCGUGCACAGUUUUGAGCGUGGGCUGCAUAGGAAGAUCGCGGGCGCUACGGGAAACUCAUCUAAAGGCUCGGGUUGGCGAGGCGGGGGCCGCAGAGGGGUGCACGGCGGCGGCGCACGGCACGGUGGUGACGGCGAGGAAUCGGGUGCGUGAAAAGGCAGGGAAGAGGGGGAGAAGCGGCUAGCGAGGAUCCUCACCACAACGUGGAGCUCCGCUGGCAGCUUGCGGUGACAGCGGGACAGCGAGACAGCUAUUGCGGCGGCGACCGAGAGACGGCGGCAAUGGUGGCGGCGGCUAGGGCUUCAAGAGGCGGCGGCUGCGGGAUCUAGCGGACUUUAGGGCACGGGGCGGCGCUUUAAAUAGGGUGGCCGCGGGCCUUGGCGUGCGGGCCUGGGGCUCCGUGCGGCGGGCGUCUGUGCCGUGCCGGGCUCGGGUGCGAGUCCAAGCCAGACUCGCCCUGGAGGUCAGGGACAACCGUGACGGGCGGGCCCUGCCUAUCAGCGAGAGAGAGAGAGAGAGAGAGAGAGAGAGAGAGAGAGAAGGAGAGAGCUGGCGCACGGGUGGACUAGGCCAGGGGAAAGGAAGCUGGGCCACGUGAGGUGGAAGGAGAGGGAGGAAAGAGGCCAGUUGGGCUGGGCCGUGCAGGGGGGAGAGGAAAAAGGGAAAGGCCGGCUGGGCUUGGGCUGAAAGGAAGAAAAGGAGAGAGAAAAAAGAAAAAGAGAGAGUGGGCCGGGCCCAAUUAGAAAAAGAGGGAGAAAAAGGAUUGCAUUCCAAUGCAUUUGAAUUUAAACUUGAAAUUUAAAUUCAAAUGGAAGACAAAUAGUAAAACAAUGCAACACGGCAUGAAAUGCACAAAACCUAUAUUUCCUUAUAUUUCUUUUUAUGGUUAAGUAAAUUACUAUUAAUUCACAUUAAAUGCUCUAAAAUCAAAAUGAUGUAAUAAAAACCUUAUGGAUCCUAAAAGAAAUCUAGCAAAAUUUAUUUAAGUUUAUAAUUUGAAAAUUAGGGUGUUACAAACCUACCCCCCUUAAAAGGAAUCUCGUCCUCGAGAUUCGGUUGGGCUAGCAAAGAGUUUGGGAAAUUCUGCCUGUAACUCAUCCUCUCGUUCCCAAGUAGCCUCAACCUCUGCAUGGUGACUCCACUGAACCUUACACAUCCGUAUCCUCUUACUCCGGGUGAUUCUCUCCAAUGUGUCUAGGAUUUUGACCGGUUGCUCCGUGUAAGUCAAAUCAUCCUGUACAUUCAACUCCUCCAGUGGCAACUGUUCCUCUGAUACCCUCAAACACUUCUUCAACUGUAAUAUGUGGAACACGUUGUGCACAUCUGACAGUCGCGCAGGUAGCUCUAGCCGGUAAGCUACCUUGCCUUUCCGUUCCAAGAUCUUCAACGGGCCAAUGUAAUGAGGUGACAACUUCCCUUUGACCUUGAAUCUGCGCAAACCUCUGAUAGGUGACACUUUCAGAUACACAAAGUCUCCUUCUUCAAAAGUUAACUCCCGUCGUAGAGUAUCUGCGUAACUCAUCUGCCUUGACUGAGCCACUUUCAGAUUCUCAUGGACAACCUGUAGCUCUUGUUCGGCGUCUUUAAUGAUAUCAGGCCCGAACAACUGACUUUCACCGGUCUCACUCCAAUACAAUGGAGUUCUGCACUUCCUGCCAUGCAAAGCCUCAAACGGUGCCAUCUUCAAACUAGUCUGAUAACUGUUGUUGUAAGAGUAUUAUGCAAAUGGCAAACUCUUAUCCCAACUGCCUUCAUGUUUUAGGGCACAAGCCCUAAGCAUAUCCUCUAAUACUUGGUUUGUCCUUUCUGUCUGCCCAUCAGUCUGUGGAUGAUAAGCGGAGCUGAAAUUCAACUUCGUGUCCAUUGACUCAUGUAACUUCUGCCAAAACCGAGAUGUGAACUGAGUACCUCUAUCUGACACUGUCUUCUUAGGUACCCCAUGCAAGCACACAAUUCGGGAGAUAUAUAACUCUGCUAAUCGUGCUCCUAUGUAGGUAGUCUUCACUGGUAUGAAGUGAGCUACUUUGGCCAAAGAUCCACUAUAACCCAUAUGGAAUCAUAACCAUCUCGUGUGCAUGGCAAUCCCAGAAUGAAAUCCAUACCAAUUUCUUCCCAUUUCCAUUCUGGCACCUUCAAUGGCUGUAACAAACUGGCUGGAGAAGUGUAUCUUAAAUGGCAACUUCAAUAGCUGUAACAUUUGCCUUCCCUGGAUGAUAGUGUAUCUCCAGAUCAUAAUCCUUUAUGAGCUCUAACCAUCUUCGCUGUCUUAGGUUGAGGUCAUUCUGAGUAAAAAUGUAGUUCAGACUCUUGUGAUUGGUGUAUAUCUGACAUCUCUGACCCAACUAAUAGUGCCUCCAUAUCUUCAGAGCAUGUACCACUGCUGCUAACUCCAGAUCGUGUGUGGGAUAGUUCUGCUCAUGUUUCCUCAACUAACGAGAAGCAUAUGCAAUCACGUGUCCCUCUUGCAUUAAUACACAACCAAGAUGUUGUUUAGAAGCAUAUAUCUCCCAGUCAUCUGCCUAUGAAGUUGAAGUCCGCUGUUAUAAACAUUUACUUAUUCAUUUAAGAUUAAGACUUUCGGUCAUGUAAUAAAGUAUUAAAAUACUCUCUUUCAUUAACACAUCGUUUUGGAUAUACACUUGUAUGGUCUAUCAUAUGUGCGGAACUUGAUCCUAGCGCACAUAUGAGAUGCAUUCAGUUCCCUUUUCUAAAUCGGGUGUGAUAGAAGUGGUAUCAGAGCCGUGUUGACUGUAGAACAUGAGCCUAGUUAGUAAUGGUCGAAUUUUAAGUCUUAUCUUGCUUAGUAGCCUACCUUCUGCUUGCUUGUUUUUGAAAAUUGCUUAUUUCUUGAUUAUAUUGUUAUUAUCUCAUCCUUGACUUCAUACUUGCCUCUCAAGUGUGUUGAUGUUUUUCAAACUCAUUCUUGCUUUAAAUUCACCUAUAUCAUUUUCUAAAUAUUUUCUAUCUUGCGCUGUCCUCACUUUUGCUAUAGAUGGCCAGAACCAGGUAGACCGCCUACAAGAGCACCCGUGGACCACCUCAUCCGAUCCAUCAUCCUGAGGAAGUGCACGACCUUGAGGAGCCUGAGCAGCCGGAGAACUUGCCCGAGUUUGUGAUAGUCGAAGACGACGAUGACGACUACUAUGGCUACCAUGAAGGAGGCUGGGUGGACACUGACACUGAGAAGGAGCCUAUGGAGCUGCCUGAGGACCAUCCUGACGCCACAAGUGACAGCAAUGAGGAUGCUGCAGGAGAAGACGGUGCCGAUUCUGGUGCCGCAGGAGGGGACAAUGCUGAAGAUGGUGACGAUGACCCAGCUGCACCUAAUGGUGGUGACGAGGACUCAGAUGAUGAUCCAGAGCCAGCCGUUGCAGCAGAUCCACCGCCACCUGAGCCCCACUACGAGAAGCAGAUACAUCGCCGGGACUUUGCUGAAGGUCCAUUCCCAGCACUUCUCUAGAGGGCCAUGCAGAGAAUCAGCUUCCCACUGAUGCCACAUAAUGAAGCUUGCUUCUACAAGAAUGCCUAGCAGGAGGAGGAGUGGUUAGUGGCAGUGGUGAUCAGUGUUCCUGAUGAGAGGUAUGGCAGCCGGAUGGAGUACUACAAGCACUUCGAUGACAUGUCCAGGAGGACUUUGGAUGCAGGGACUAGUGAAGCUGCUAGAAGAGCUCUCUACUACCUCUGCCAUGUUUACCGGGAUGAACUUCAGGGUACUGAGUUUCAGCAGUUUCCACGGCGCAUGAAGGGUGCCACCUGUGCGCAGAUUCAUGCCCCGCCCCCUAGGGAAGGAAGCUUGCUCAUGGACACCACGCAGGAGUUGGUCGCCGCUCUCAGCACUGACAUGGAUGCUGCCGGAGCAGAGAUCUAGGAGGUCAAGAGGAAGCUGAGGAAGACGAUUAGGGAGAAGGCGAUUCUGGAAGCUCAGCUGAGGGGAGGUCCGGAGCUACCCCGGAGUACGACAGCGAUGAGUCUAUCGAGUACCUGCCAGAGUCACCUCACUGCAAACGCGUUCGCUAUAGAGAGCCCAGCUACCGCACCCGUUAUCGUUAGAGAUGCAUUCGGUUCCCUUUUGAAAACCGGGUGUGCCACGCGUGCAGCCCAUCUCCAGCCAUCUCUAGCCCCAUCCGAGCCCACCUACAGGCAGCCCUCACUGUCCUCGUGCUCCCCCACCCCUUUCCUCUCGCCGCCAGCAAGCCUCCUCGCUGGAUUUCAACCAGGAAACAUCUAGCCCCGCCUCAGGACUACAUUGCGAUCGCCAAGUUCUUUUUAGAAUUCUUUCAGCUAGAUCCAGGGACCUAUCUGCGAAAACUCAUGUUAACUUUGGUUUUCAAGAGGCUGUCAAUUGUAAAAUCAAUCUAAAAUCAUAGAAAAAUUAGAAAAAUACACUAAAAUUUGUUGUGACCCUCUUGAUGAAUCCUACAACUUUUGCAUAGAAGGAAGACCAGUUACAAACUAUAACUUGAUCUAAAAUUAAUCUUUUUUAAAUAGCCCAUAAAUGUAUCUCUUGAUAUGGGACAGUAAUAUGGAUGAUUUUUGGAUUGUAAGCUAGUCUCUUCUUGAUAAGACUUGUGUAAAAAUCUCAAGGCUAGAACAAGUAUCUACGAGUAGUUCUUGUUGGACCUUGUUUGAUGUGCUAUUUCGCUAGAGUUAUUUGUUCAUGCUGUUCUACUAAUAUGUUAGGGUUGAAACUUUUACAGCAGAGUAACCUUGAUGCAUAAAUUCUAUGGACAAAGUUUGGAACUUUUUACUUCUAUCUAACUUGCUCAUAUGUUUUAGUUAAGAAAGACUACCCUAAAUCAAAGUAACUAGUUCUAGUGCUUAGAAAAAUAAGAAAUUUUAACCAGAGACUAUCGUUGAGUAGAUUAUCAUGUUGGAAAAGUUUGGGAUAUAGAAACUUUGUGGAACUGUCUAUAGAAAUAAAUCUUUAUUAAUGUAGAUGUAUCUUGACUUAUUUUCUAUCUUCUGUAUCUUGCACACUAAAACCUGAAAAGUUUACAGUAGACUCACCAUAAGUUUAGGAGUACUGAGUAAAAUGUUGAGCACCAGUUUUUUGUCAUGGGUUGUUCUGUAUAAAUGGAUCUUGAUCCUAGUAGUAGUUGUUUAUUGUAUUUUUCAUAAUUAAUCUAGUAAUGAAAAUAGCUGGAAAUUUUAUAGUGAGUUUGUACUUAAGUAAUAUGCUCUACAUAAAAAUCUCAACACCAGAAACUAUCUCUAGUAUUUUUUUUAAUCCAUGCUUACUUUUGAAAAAUGGCUGUUUAUGAAAUGACAAAACCCCUCACUUACUUAAUGAAGUUAGUUAAUCUAGAUACUACUCGAUAAAUGACUGUCCAAGGAAAAGAAAAUGAAGUGCUUACAACUUAACUUGAGUUUUGUUGAAUUACAACUUUAUAGUGAAAUAGUUAUUUAUCUUGUACUUUUAAAACAACUUAUACAUAUGCAUUUAUAUAGAAUCGACGACUCUCGCCGAUGGAACCUACGAGCUGGUGCCGAAGCCCGAGAGUGAGCAGCACGAAGCUCUGAUCAGUCUAACUGAAGUUAUCAAAGACCCGAACCAAAGUUCACAAAAGCCCAAAGCUAGGUUUGCUAAGGAAGGCAAGCCCUGGAGCAUAACUCCUAUUUUUAAACUUAUGCAACUUUUACUUAUAUAUGGUAUUGUGCAUUAAGUUUGUAGGAGUAGAUUGAAACCCUAGAUGCAUGAUACUAUGUACCUAUGAUAUGAACACUAGUCUAUGUCGGUCGCUAGAUUGCCAUGCUAAUAGGACUCCGGUAAAAGUUGAGUGAUUUUCUGUCACUCGCGAGAUAUAGGAAUUGCUUGUUUUACUUAUGUUGGAAUCAUAAGGUCGAUGGACGGUGCUAUUUUAUGAUAUUUCUAUUGAUGAUUGAGGCCCCGUCCAUUUAGCAAAAAUGCUAAGGUCGCGGUGUGGGGUAGUGGUGGUUAAAUUUUGGAACGUACUAACCACAUGCCGAGAAUAUGGUAAUCGGUAAGCUUAAGUACCUGAUUGAACCGGGGCGUGGAACGUACCACCCCACCGUCUUGAUGUCAUUCCCAUGGGCACAUGGUAAGUGCAAGAGCAGCCACGACCCGGCGUUGUUCCAUGGUUCGUGGACCUAUGUACUUGAGGACGGUGGCCCUGUUCCAUGAAAUGAGAAUAAAGGGGAAAUGUUGCACAUGUGACUCUAUGAGCAACCACGUGACGUGUGUUUAGGUUUCCUAUUGCAAUGUUAAGAAAUUCGAUUCAAUUCAUCCGUUUCUCAUGACCCUUAAGACUGCUUGACCCUUUUACCACAUAGAGUAAGAAGAGGAACAAUAAUGAUGCUUAAUCUGGUUGGAUGCUCAAUUAAUUUUCCACCAUGCGUGAUUUGGAUAGCUGCUUACCUAGAAUGGUUAAUCAACUAGAACUUGAUGCUAAAACUUGAAAGCAAAGACUCACUGUUAGAUGCUUUCUCGCUAAAACAACCCUCAGCUAAAAGCCUUGCAUGUCUAAGAGUCGGCUAAGUAUAUACCACUAGUCGGGUAACCCUUGCUGAGUAUUAGUAUACUCAGCCUUGCUUGUGGAAUGGGAUGCGUCCCCAUCCAAUGAUGAUAAUGUUGAAUGAUGUCAUGUACGGGCUUCAUCAUGAUAUCUUGUAUCAUCGUUAGAACUAUCGUUUAUUUUCCGCUACACUAUUAAAGCCUGAAAGUACUUGUCUAUGAAUAUUUUCGAACUUUAUUUGUAAUAUAAUUUCUGUUGAACUCUGGAAUGUAAAACUUGUGGAUUGUUGUAAUCUCAUGGCUCACCUUCGUGUGGGUUGUAUGUAUGCAUUGUUUCGAUCGAAAUUCCAGUGGUUGCAUCGGGAUGUUACCCGACAGACUGUCGUUUUACUCCGUUUUAAGUGUGGGUAAGCCCGGAUUGCCUCUAUGGUGAUGGUUAGCGCAUUUAAGCUGGAUUAAUUCAGGCGGUUCUGCCACAGCUGGUAUCAGAGCCGAAAUGCAUAUACUAGAGAGUACAACAAGCCUUAAACAAAUAUUUUAAUAAAACUUGACCACAAAAAAUGCAUUUGAAAAUACGUUGUUUUGUUAAGGAUGACGCAUAGUUCGUAAAGCCCUAGGGGAUUAUGGGAAUAUGACUAGGUGGUUAUCUAACUUAUGUUUAUUAUAACUAACUUGUAGCAUAUUACUUUGUAUCAAAACUUACUUUUGUACACAACCGACCUUUAAUUUCUGUUACGACGCACUCAUUGCUAAGGUAAGGAGGUAAGAAUCCACAGUCAACUGAGAGAGCUUGACCUCAUGUCGGUGACACGAACCGAACACUGCCCUCAAGUAGUGGCUUACUUGAUGUGCUGCCAAUAUACCAACCACUCAUUGAUUAUAUUGGGAGUAAAAUAUGCUGCAUGUAUGGUGGCUUCGACAUACAAACAUCCCAUAAGGUGAUUUAUUUGGAAAGUGAAUACGUUAUCACGGUAAUGUAUGAAGCACUGUCCAUGCAGUGGUGAACGCUUGGAUGCCGCUACUAUAGUGAGCGGUAAUGUAUGGGGACACUUUCGUGAGUGCUGGCAUGAAAGGUUCAAUUUAUAUUCUGUCAAUCUUCUGCAGGUACACUAACCGUGGUUACGUUAAGAUAAGAACGGUUAGAAAAGUUCGGCUAGUUAAUAUAAGGAGAGACGUAUUAUGUAUGCCAUCGAAAUUAACCACGUUAGACCAAAGCUAUUUGGCAAUUGUUUUGCUUUGUGAGGAUGAAUAGGAUGUGCAUGCCUCAUGAUCAUGUAUGAAAAUUGAAUGAAACAUUGUCCUGGGUUUAUAAGGGAGUAAGUUGCACUAGAGCACACGUUUAAGCACUCACUUAAGGGCUAUCUAGAAAUCUAUCUUCUUCUGCCAUAUCUAGGUAGAAGAAUUAAUUAGGCUAAUGAAAUAACCUUAUCUGAAGAAAAGCUUAAUAGGGAAGUUGCUUCAAAUUUCGCCUACUUUCUGCUGCUAAAUUUUGAGAAUUUUUGGGCUAGUACUCAGUGGGCAACACUAGAAACUUCCACAUCUCAGUUUUCUGCCUGUUUUGAGCACUCCUAUUACAAAUAAAUUCUUAGACCUUCUUAGUGAAGUUUUCUGCAGAAGUGUUCAACAUCAAACUUUUUGCAAACUUAUACAAUCAACUAAUUUUCAAAUUUGGAAGUUUUUGCCUGAGUAGAUUUUCCCUGGUGAUUAAAAUACUAGCUCUCUGUCCACUAAAAAACCGCCAAAAUAGAGAAACAGUCGGAGAUGUAGUCGAAGUGGUCGAAGAUGUAGUCGUAGUAGUCAGAGGUGUAGUUGAAGCAGUCGGAAAUGUAGACGAAGUGUCGAAGAUGUAGUCAUAGUAGUUGAAGAUGCAAUCUAAGUAGUCGAAGUAGUCGGAGGUGUAACUGAAGUAGUCGGAGAUGUAGUGGUAGUAGUUAGAGAUGUAGUUGAAGCAGUCAGAAAUGCAGUCCAUGUAGUCAAAGAUGUAGUGUAGUCGAAGAUGUAGUCGUAGUAGUCGGAGGUAUAGUUGAAGCAGUUAGAGAUAUAGUCGUAGUAGUUAGGAAUGUAGUUGAAGCAGUCGGAGAUGCAGUCAAAGUAGUCAAAGAUGCAGUGUAGUCGAAGAUGUAGUCGUAGUAGUCAGAGGUAUAGUUGAAGCAGUCGGAGAUAUAGUCGUAGCAGUUAGAGAUGUAAUUGAAGCAGUCAGAGAUGUAGUCAGAGUAGUCGAUGAUGUAGCCGUAGCAGUCAGAGAUAUAGUCGUAGUAGUCAGAGAUGUAAUUGAAGCAGUUGGUGAUAUAGUAGAAGUAGUCGAGAUGUAGUCCUGGUAGUCGGAGUUGUAGUUGAAACAGUCGGGGAUGUAGUCGUAGUAGUCAAAAAUGUAGUCGAAGUAGUCCGAGAUGUAGUAGUCAGAGGUGUAGUUGAAUAUCAAAGUUGUAGGUCACUAAAGUUUCUAGUCACUGCCAAAAUUUGUAAGGGUUUGGAUGAACAGACUAGGAGUUACAGUUUUGUUGCAACCAGCAGUAUUCUGUCCACAGUUUAUCUAUGAGUCCUUCAGUUCUAAAUCUUCCGCACUUAUGACACUCAGCCUUGGAGGUACUGUGGAUUCCUGAAUUAAUGAAAAAUUUGCACAAUGCAGCUGGUUCAAGCGACCCACAACACCCCGAAAAAAGCGGUUUUGGUGCUAAUGGUAGUAGACAACCACAGUAGCCUCCACAACCGCCCAACCUAGCUGAAGUAGUGACUGCCUAGACUGAACUGCUUCGUCAGCUUGUCCAAGGGCAGCAAGCAUUUCAACAAUUCCUGCAGCAGCAACACCAUCAACGGGGUGGCCGCAAUGUCCACCAACCUCAGGUUGCGGGCUAUCAAGAGCUCAAUAAGGAAAUAAAGGAUACAAGGGAUGUUUACUCGGACUCCCUAAUGCCACUAUCAUGACUUCCGAUGGAAAUUAAGGAUCCCCAAGUAGAGUGUCGGACUCUGAAGCACGACACAUGCGACAUAGACUUAAGUGGAUGGGAAAUUACAUGCACAGAAUUCAUUCCACGAGGUAGAAGGCAAACCAGCAGUACUACUAACGCCAACACAGUCAUAAGAGCAAGAACUCGCUCGCCUGUCCAUGAAAAGAUGGACCAUGCCAGAUGCACCACACCCAAGAAAAGCUCAGUAAGUAUGCUAGUAGUGAAAUCCUUAGGUAACAAACAGCCUGGUGGUCCGUGCAAAACAAAAUGUUGCUUCAUUUUUAGGAGUCCUAACCACUUUGCUCGAGAUUGCUCCCGCGCCAGACAGCCAAAUCAGGGUCACGGUUCUAGCCGAAACAAUAAGAACAAGAGCAAAAGAUAGAUUGAUCAGGUUAGGCAAGGAAGGAUAAAUUUCACCACACCUGCCGAGCUUGUGCACCAGCGAUGUCGGGUACAUUCUCUAUCCACAACAAGUCUGCAGUUAUAUUAUUUGAUUCAGGUGCAUCCCAUAGUUUUAUUAGUGCAAAAUUUGGUGAAAAAGUGGGCUUGGAUUUUUGUCACACAAAAGGGUCAUACAUAAUAUCAACACCGGGUGGUAAAAUUACUUCCAACCAAAUCAUAAGGCACGUACCAAUCAAGUUGGGUAGUAAAACUAUCAAAACCGACCGCAUGCUUUUGGCACUUGAAAGCAUGGACAUUAUUUUAAGAAUGGACUGGAUGACUCCACAUGGGGUGACAUUAGAUACUCCUUCAAGGGCCGUUGAAAUCAACUCCCCAACCCAGGGAGCCUCUAUUCUUUAUUUGCCAUUCCGAGAAUGCACAAAUACAUGCGCCUUCAUCAAGAUCGAAUCCAAGAUAGAGGAAAUACCACCAGAUAGGGAUAUUUAGUUCAUUAUUGAACUGCAGCCAGGCACUGCACCUAUCUCAAAAAGACCCUAUAGAAUGCCACCCAAAGAAUUGGCCGAACUGAAAAAACAACUUGAAGAACUCUAGACAAAGGCUUCAUUCGUCCUAUUGCAUCACCUUGGGGUUGCCCAGCCCUAUUAGUGAAGAAGAAGGAUGAUAGUUUGAGGCUGUAUAUGGACUACCGACGUCUCAAUGCGGUGACAAUUAAAAAUAAAUAUCCACAUCGCCACAUUGAUGUUCCCUUCGAUCAAUUAGUGGGAGCUAGAGUCUUCUCAAAAAUUCAUGUUCGCUCUGGUUAUCAUCAGAUCAAGAUUUAUCCAUGUGAUAUCCCUAAGACUGCCUUUUCCACACGGUACGGGCUAUAUCAGUAUCUGGUCAUGUCUUUCGGUCUCACAAAUGCUCCUGCCUAUUUCAUGUAUCUCAUGAAUUUGAUAUAUUCAUGCUCGAGCUUGACAAGUUCAUCGUGGUUUUUAUUGAUGACAUCCUUAUUUAUUCCAAGAAUCAGAAAGAUCAUGCUAAGCACCUGCGCAUUGUUCUCCAGCGUCUUAGAGACCAUUAGCUCUAUGCUAAGUUUUCCAAGUGUGAAUUCUGGCUGGAUAGUGCAAAAUUUUUGGGCCACACUAUGUCUAGUGAAGGUAUAGCCGCUGAUGCUAACAAAGUACAAGAGGUGAUGGAUUGGAAACCUCCCACCUCCGUCCAUCAGAUUUGUAGUUUUCUUGGUUUAGCUGGUUAUCAUCACCACUUUAUUCCAGACUUCUCCAGAUUUGCUAAGCCUAUGACUGAACUAUUGAAGAAAGGAGUAAAGUUUGUAUGGAGCGAGAAAUGCAAAAAAGCUUUCCACACUCUUCGGGAACACCUGACUACAGCCCCAGUCUUGGCUCAACCCGAUAACACCAAGCCAUUCAGUAUUUAUUGUGACGCAUCCGGCACUGGUCUUGGUUGUGUGCUUAUGCAAGAUAACCGAGUCAUUGCCUAUGCUUCACGAGCUCUUCAACCUCAUGAAUAUUAUUAUCCAACACAUGAUCUCAAGCUAGCAGUUGUCAUUCUUGCUUUAAAGAUUUGGAGACAGUAUCUUAUGGGCACUCAUUGCAAUAUCUACACUGAUCACAAAAGUCUCAAAUAUAUCUUCACCCAAGCUGAUCUGAAUAUAAGACAAAGAAGAUGGUUGGAAUUGAUCAAAGAUUAUGAUCUUGAGGUGCACUAUCACCCAGGAAAGGCUAAUGUAGUCGCAGAUGCGCUAAGCCGCAAGGUUUAUUGCAAUUGCUUAUCCGCAAAAUUCUAUAAUGGAACAUUAUUUCAUGAGAUGAGGAAACUCAAUCUGGAAAUGAUUCCCCAAGGCACUUUAAAUCAUAUCUCUGUUGAACCAACCCCCCACGAUCGAAUCAUCAUGGCCCAAUUAAAUGAUGAGGGAGUAAAGAUCAUCAAGCACAAGCUCUCCCAAGGGGAAGAGAAAUAUAAAUAUUUUCGCCAAGACAAGAAUGGAGUUCUAUGGUUUGAAUCUCGCAUAGUGGUUCCAAAGAAUCAUGAGCUCCGAAAACAAAUUCUUGAUGAGGCACAUCUUUCCAAGUUCUCUAUUCACCCGGGUAAAAGCAAAAUGUAUCAAGAUCUUAAGCAAAACUUUUGGUAGACUAGAAUGAAAAGGAAAAUUGCCAAGUAUGUCUCAGAAUGUGACCCAUAACAGAGGGUUAAAGCUAGCCACUUGAAAGUAGCCGGUACACUUCAACCUUGCCUAUACCAUCAUGGAAAUGAGAAGAUAUAAGUAUGGAUUUCAUUGUUGGAUUGCCCAACACCUCCCAAAAGCACGAUUCCAUGGGUUAUCGUGGAUAGAUCACGAAAACGGCACAUUUUAUUCCGGUACACACUACCUACACUGCCAAGAAGUAUGCCGAGAUUUACCUCGAUCGCAUCAUUUGCUUACAUGGGGUACCCAAGAAGAGUUCUCAUACAACAAUAGAUAUCAAGCAAGUUUGAAAAUGUCACCAUUUGAGGCCUUGUAUGGUCGAAGGUGUUGAACUACUUUGAGUUGGUCCCAAACUAGAGAACGUAAAAUAUUUGGACUAGAUUUGGUAAUCGAGGUAGAGGAAAAAGUAAGAGUAAUAAAAGAGAAUCUAAGAGUCGCACAGUCUAGACAAAAGAGCUAUUUUGAUAAAAGGAGAACGCCUUUGCAAUUUGAAGUUGGUGAUCAUGUCUACCUUCGGGUUUCACCAACCAAGGAUGUGCAAUGGUUUGGAGUGAGAGGGAAGUUAGCUCCCCGAUAUGUUGGUCCUCAUGAAAUUACCAAAAUUUGUGGACCCGUGGCCUAUAGAGUGCGACUACCCCCUCCGCUUGCAACCAUCCAUAAUAUCUUUCAUGUCUCUCAACUCAAGAAGUGUAUUCGAGUUCCGACCAAAAUUGUUGAACAAAAGAAAAUAUUAGUAGACCCAGACCUCUCUUAUGAUGAAUAUCCUAUCAAAGUUCUUGAUCAAAAGGAAAGUGGUUAAAAUGUAUAAAAUCCAAUGGAGCCAUCCAAUGGAGCCAUCACACCGAAGAGGAAGCCACUUGGGAAACUGAAAGCUAUUUAAACCAAAGUUUCCACGGUUUUCUAAAUUCGCCCAAAGGUACACGUACUUUCCACACUAGGUGUACUUAUCCGAAUCUCGGGAUGAGAUUCUUUUAGAGGGGGAAGGCUAUAACGCCUUAGGUAUUUAAAAUCCUAAGCAGAAAAACCUAAACAUAGCAUUGUGCAUAAUAACUCAGAAUCAUUGAAACAAUGCAUUUAAUUAUGGAUGUGCAUAUGCAUGUGUAUGAAUGUGUAUGUGCAUGUGCAUGUAUGUGUGCAUAUAAGGUUUUUCAUAAAUAUGUUCAUAACCAUACAUGCUCAACUUGUUAUAAAAAAAUGUGGCAUAAAAACACACUCAUAUUUUAGUACCUUACAAAGUGUACUUCAAACACCAUUUGCAAAUUCAAAUUUUAAACACAUGAGAUGAAUAGGAAUUCAAAUCUUACUAGUCAUAAAUUUAAAAUAACUUCUAAACUAAAGCUCAAAUGAACUUUGAUAAAAAAUGAAAGUCAUAGAGUUUCAAAUUCCCUACAACUUUUAAGUUGGCAGAUUUCAAAGUUUCCUUGCAAACUUUUGAGAAAAAUUCAUUUAAACCCGGGACCUCACUCUUUCUCUCUCUUCCUUCACUCUCCUUCUCUCUCUCCCUCCCCUGUUCUGUCCCGUUGAGGGGCAGUGGCCGCCGGCCACCUAGCCGCCGAUGCCUGCCGGCGAGCCGUGCCAAAGGGCAGCGCCUCGACAGGCCGAUGGCCGAAUCGCCCUUUGCAGCCCUGAAUCCACCCAUGCCUGAUGCGCGCGCGCCACACGGAUGUUGAUUCCUGAUGGCCGAGCCACAACACACCAGUGGUCCGCGCCCUUGUCGCAACCUUAUCCCGGCUGCACCUUCCUCAGCUUGGCCGCGCCCAGUCCCUCCUCCCCUUCCCUUUGCGCCUAUAAAAGGGCUGCAUCGAGCCCCUGCUCACGUGCGUCCGAGUACCACCAUCGCCAUGCCAGUAUCGCCGCUGCUCGGCCUCGCCAUCGAGCCCCACCUUCUGCUCCACUUCCACCCGAGUCAAGCCCCUGAAUCAGCUUCCCAUGGCCCCCUAAAACUCCCCAAUUUCCUCACGCCGCCCCUGCCUCACCGGACGGCUCCCAGUGAGCCACCUCCACACCACCGCCCCACUGCUCCCGCAGGCCACCCAAUUCCAACCAUCUCCAGCCCCAAGCGAGCCCACCUACAGGUAGCCCUCGUCGUCCUCGUGCUCCCUCACCCUUUUCCCCUCGCCGCCGGCGAGCCUCCUCUCCGGAUUUCUGUCGGGAAACACCCGGCCCCACCCAGGGACUACAUUGCAAUCACCAAGUUCUUUUUAGGAUCCUUUCUGCUAGAUCCAGGCACCUAUCUGUGAGAACUCGAGUUAACUUUUGUUUCCACGAGGCUGUCAAUUGUAAAAAUCAAUCUAAAAUCAUAGAAAAAUCAGAAAAAUGAAAACUAAAAUUUGUUGCGACCCUCUUGAUGAAUCCUACAACUUUUGCAUAGUAGGAUGACCAGUUACAAAAUAUAACUUGAUCUAAAACUAAUCUUAUUUUAAAUAGCCAAUAAAUGUAUCUCUUGAUCUAGGAUAGUAAUGUGGAUGAUUUUUGGAUUGUAAGCUAGUCUCUGCUUGUUAAGACUUGUGUAAAGUCUCAAGGCUAGAACAAGUCUCUACGAGUAGUUUUUGUUAGAUCUUGUUUGAUGUGCUAUUUUGCUAGAGUUAUUUGUUCUUGAUGUUCCACUAAUAUGUUAGGGUUGAAACUUUUACAGUAGAGUAACCUUGAUGCAUAAAUGAUAUGGAGAAAGUUGAGAACCUUUUACUUCUGUCUAACUUGCUCAUAUAUUUUUAGUUAAGAAAGACUAUCUUGAACCAAAGAAACUAGUUCUCGUUCUUAAAAUAAUAAGAAAUUUUAACCAGAGACUACCUUUGAGUAGAUUAUCAUGUUGGAAAAGUUUGAGACACAAAAACUUUGUAGAACUGUCUAUAGAAAUAAAUAUUUAUUAUGUCGGUACAUACGGAUAGGGGAACCUCCUGCUAGAGUGUCCAGCCCGAAGGGUGCGAGGGUAUCCGUAACCUCGCCCUAUGCCUUCGGAUGAUAGGGCGUACGGCCCGGGCCUGACAGCUGGCGUCGCAAUCUCCGGACCUCGUCCCGUGCUCUAACAGGUCCGGUGCCUCCAUGUGCCCAGAAGGACAAGGUGCCCAGGAACGGCCACCACGGGCCCGAACCCCCGCGGGGUGGUCCGGUGCCGCCACAUGUGGAAGCCGGACCCUCUAGGGGUCUGCGCACCUAAAUCGACCUUAGGGGCCCGGACCUCCCUUCCCUCCGGGCCUGACAGCUGGCGUCGCAAUCUCCGGACCUCGUCCCGUGCUCUAACAGGUCCGGUGCCUCCAUGUGCCCACAAGGACAAGGUGCCCAGGAACGGCCACCACGGGCCCGAACCCCCGCGGGGUGGUCCGGUGUCGCCACGUGCCCCAAAGAAACAGACUGCUAAGCAAGCUCCGCCACGUGUCCGGUGGCAGCCAGCCUUCUGCGGGACGCCAGCCCAACUACCGCAUUAAAUGCCAGUAGGUGAGGCGCGCGUGCCCGGGUCAGGGCGUCUGGCAGAACCGCCUGAAUUAUUCCGAUUCAAGUAUGCAGACCAUCGCUAAACAGGCGAUAGAGUCUCAACGUACUUCAAACGAAACAACUCAUUGGUCUGUCGGGUCACCCCCCGAUUCAAACACGGUACACAGGAUCGACGUAUGUUUACCUCGCACGAAGGCGAGUCCAGACUUACAACAGCUCACAAAUUUUACACCACAGGAUAAUUAAACAUGAUUACACAGAUGUUUUGUUUUACCCUAACUAAUACAAAUUUAUACAAACAUAAUUCAAAACUUUAAGUUUUAACAGCCUUUGUUCAGAGGGGGCAGCGGAAAAGAUAUAACAACGUGACUACUCGACGCCAAGAAGGCACCAUACUUAGCCCAGAGCAUGGCGUCAUUCCGAUGGGUCAGCGCUGGCCGGGGAUGGAUCCCAUUCCACGGACCAGCCAAGCGGAAUAGAAUAGGACCAAGGAGAACUAGCCACUGAGUCCUCGAACGGUAUACUUGAAAAUAACAAUACUAGCAAGGCUGAGUAUACUAAUACUCAGCAAGGCUUACCCGACAUUGGGUAUACUUAACCCAUAACUAGACCAUGAUACGUUGAACAGCUUGAGUUUUCUUUUGCUGAAAAGCAACAAAGAGUAUGACCUUACUUUCAUAUUUUAGCUUUCAGAUUCUAUUUUGUUUUAACCAUUCUAGGUAAGCACCUAUACUAGUCAAGCAAGGUAGAUAUUAGGCAUCCAUCCAAAUUAUUUCAUUAACUAUUACUGUUCUUACUCUAUGUGGUAGAAGUAUCAAGCAGUCUCAAUCUCCGCAAGAAACGGACGAUUCCUGAAUCGAAUUUCAUAACCUUGCAAAGGAUCCUAACUCACACGCUCGGAAACUUUCCUUUCCGGGCAACCAUUCCCCUCAUAUUCCGGGGCGUGGAUCAGGGCCACCACAAGCGACUGCAGGACCGUACGCACAUCCAAUGUGCAGGACGUACGUCUACUGCACGACAGUAUGACCGUACUCCUGUCUGCUAUGCAGAAUGUACUCCCACACGUCGGUGUGUGUGUGCAACAAAAACCAUAAUUCGAGUGGUGGGGUAAGUCCACUUGUCGGGACAAUCAGGUACUAGGCUUACCGCGUACCAUAUUUACGGCCUUAUCAAAUUGAUCAACACAGACGGGUACCAUUCCAAUCAUGGUACUACACAAAAUCCCGUCCAUGAUCCUUAUAGUGAUUGCAAAAUAGUAAACAAUCAACUCCUAUAUCGCCGAGUGACAGGAAAUCACUCGACUUCUGCCGGUCCUAUUAGCAAAGCAUCUACUCGAUAAGGACUCAAAAACAUUACAUAGAUUCCUAGGUUUAUGCAAUUAAGGUUUCAUAACAACUCCUAACACUUAAUGCACAAGCAAGAUAUAUAGCAAUAUAAGUGCAUAAUUUAAAAUACUGGGUUAUGCACCGGGGCUUGCCUUCUUGGGUGGGGCUAGGGUCAGGGAUGUCACUAUGUUCUGAACUUUGGUUCGGGGCUUCAGUUAAGUCCUCGGCGACGUUCACCUGGUCUUCAGAUAAACCUUGCUCGGGUUCCGUCUUCAAGCGUCGUCAAUUCUACAUGAUAUGCAGUGACUUGAAGCAAUGGUUAUUAUCUUGUUUUCAUGAAAAAGUUGCAAUCUAUCAAUUCACAGCCAAGCAUCGCAAAACAAGGAUUUGAAUUCCAAGAAUUCAAAUCUACUUCUUAUAAAUUAAACCUAUGAUAACAAGUUUUAUUUUUUAGUUUGAAAUCUAUAGAGGUUCUGGCCUUGAAUUUUGACAAGUGUGUUUACCUCUAUCAGAUGAGCUUGUCAUAAAUUUUUCAUAAAUUUAUGAAAACAAAAACUAAGUUAUUUGAAUUUAAUUCAAAUUUCAAGUUUAAAUCAAAACCUAAGGCAAAACAGUGCUAUAAAAUUAUUCAAAUACUACUAUGCCUUACUCAACAUUAGAUCAACAUAUGGUUAAAAGAUCUAAGCAGGAAAGCAUUAGCAUCAUGCUUGAAUAAAUUGAUUUCAUUUCAAACUUGAUUUGCACAAAAUUUAAAUGAGUUCAAGUUAGAGUGUAGUACUGAAGGUGAAAUUUGCACACAAGUUCACUUACACCUUAAACAGGUUGCAUACCAAAAAUCACAUGAAAUAAAGCUGGAAUGCAAAAGUUAUGCACAAGAUACCCUUUUGCUAAACUUUAAAAUAGCUCUAAAAGCAUUUAGUUUCAAACUAAACUCUUGUAACAAAAGUUAUAGAGCUAGACUCCUAGAGUACAACAAAACCGAUUUGAAAAUUUUUGGAUUUUUCUACAAAUUCCUAUCGAUUCUCAAAGUUGACAGCUUUGAAUUGGGGAGGGGUACUGAUAUUUCACAGAAACGACCCUAGAAAGAUUUAAAAGCUUGAAAUUGGGUCCUUGGCCGGGUUUUACAGAGAAGCCGAUCGAUGACGAUCAAAUUCCGGUGAGGGGGCUCACCGGAGGCAAGGGGAAAGUGGGGGAAAAGGUUCAGGAGCUCACAGCGGUCACGGGGGUGGCCGGAAUCGAGGAAGGAAGGGGCUGAGGUGGCGGGUCGAUGGUGAACCGAGCCGGUGCGGCGGGGCUCCGAGGACGGCGGUGGCGUUCCAGUAGCUGGAGUGCCGGAGAGCGACGGGGAAGUGGCCGGGAAGUUUCUGCGUGAAGAUGUGGUGCUGAUGGUGAGCUUGUUGAGGGCUGAGAGGUGGCGGAGCGUCGGGACAGCAGCGAGUAGAAGCAGCGGUGGUGGAAGAGCUCACCGGCGCCGUGGUCCUGACUGCGUGGGUGCGAGGGAAUGGAAUUGAACUAGUCAGGGAGUUUCAGUGGGAUGUGGCGGUGCCGAUGGAACAUGGGAUUGUGGGUGUGGGGUGGCGGAGGUGGCUGAUGACGGCGAGCAGAAACGGCAGUGGAGCGGUGGCGACGGUGGUCGAGCAGAGAAGAAACCAAGGAAGCGAAAUGUGGCCGCGCGAGCGGGUAAAAGUAGUCGAAGAGGGCUCCUGGACGCUCUACAGAACCAAAAAGAGCACGGGCGAGCUGGAGCAGCGGCGGCGCGACGUGGCUGCUGCGACCGAUGGCGGCAUGACGUGGUGGGGUGGGAGGAAGCCAGCAGAGGUCUGGCGAGAGGCGGGCGGGUGAGUUGGAGGGCCAGGUGGUGAGGUUAAAGCUGCGAAAGGCAAGUGGCAGCGCGAGAGCUCACCGGUGAGGGGCGGCGGGCGGUGGAGCAGAGCAGCAGAGAAAGCAGAGAGGAAGGGGAGAGAGGAAGACGACGAGGAUCUGGUUGGAAUUUUUCAAAAGUGCAAGGACUCUACUGUAAAGUAAAAUUAUCUUUCAAACCAUAGCUCAAAUGAAAAUAUGCCCAAAAGAAAAAGUGUAGAGUUUAGAAGGAUCUACAACUUUGCUUUAAGGGUCAGCUUCAAAAGAGUUAGGUUUUUAAAACUAUUUUGAAAUCCGAUAAACUAUCAAAUUUCACAUAAAAUCUAUUUAAAAAUUCACAUUCUAAAAGAAACCUUAGGAUAAUUCCACUUCUUACAGUGGUUUAAAAGUAAAUUCUUGCCUUUGCAAAAUUAUCCUUCAUACAUUUUGAAAUUACCCUACCCUCAAACACAUUUAGCAAAAGAACCCUAAUUUUUCCAUAAUUACAAAAAUACCCUUUAAGUUGCAUUUAAGUUUUAAAAGCUUUUAUCAAAGCAACACACACUUCAUUCUAACAAGCAUAACAUAUACUAAAAUUUAAUAUGCCUAUCUCCUAAGUACCUGGAUGUCACAGGGCAUGGGCUGUCCACUGACACGUCGGGUAGGUAUGCUGACACCACGGUAAGCCUGCCAGUUACCGAGGCGGCGUGUCACAUCACCACACCGCGUAUGAAGGCGGGCGGCGUGUAGUCACAUCACAGCGCCGCGCGCAUGAGCAAAGGGUAAUUAUGAUCUGCUGCAGGAGGGCUACGGCGUGCGCUGCUACAGUGUGCGUGGGCGCUACCUCACGACAGGUCAACACGGCCCCUUCGCCCGUUAGCGAGAAUUGACCCAAUAGUGACAACACAUCUCCCACUAUGCAUGUCACUAACAACAGGCACUGUGCCAGUGAAACGGUACAUGACCAUACCCUGGUAGAAGAUAUGCACGUCAACUUCCCGAUCGAGGACUACAGGGAGGAGCCAAAGAGGAAGAUUUCCGAAUCUGUGGCAUAAAGUCUCCAAUGUGUACGUUAUCUAAUAUGUCGCUGGGUCCACCUGUCGGGGCCUCGCUCAGUGUACGUGCUCCCCUUGAGCCUAUAAAAGGGAAAGCACACUCGCUAGAACACAAGUUCUGGAGAUUUCAGAGACUCCUAAGCUCACAAGCUCUCGGAAGCUUUAAGUUCUCACAAACAAUUCAACACACAGUGGAUGUAGGGUUUUACGUUCCGACAACCUGAACCACUCUAAACCCUUGUGUGCUUUCCGUGUUCAUUCACCCCUUGAUCUAGCAUUCCUAGACUUCCCCCAAACUCAUCCCAGACUAGGAUUAGGCAGGUGCAUUCCGCCACUUGACAGGAGAUUUACUCCGACAUUUGGCGCGCCCCUAUAGGAGGUGGAGGUCCGGCAUGCACCAAUGUGACAACUGACCCUGCUUUGGAGGGUCCGGCCGGGUCCCAACUGUCAGACCCGGGGCCACGGGGCUGUGUACAUCAAGGAGUCCGUAUUGGACUAGGGGAUAGGACGUGUCCUGUACCUCAUUUAUGUUGUAUUCUAUCCGCAUGCGGAGUAGAACUAGUCGAUACAGAAGGAAACUACUCGAGUUGUACUUGAGUACGAUUUCUAUGUUAGUAUCAGACUAGGAUUCAUGUAACCCUGUCCCCCCGGAUAUAUAAGGGCGGGCAGGGACCCCCUCAAAACAUAAGAUCACCAGAUCAACACCAAGGCAAUACAAACCAUCAUACAGGACGUAGGGCAUUACGCAUAUUACGGCCUGAACCUGUCUAAAUCUUGUGUUGUCUGCACCUUCGAGUUCCUGAUCUCGGCGCAUCCCAACCUAAAACCUACCACCUUGGGUAUACCCCUUGGUGGGCAGCCGGAUAAAACCCGACAGCUGGCGCGCCAGGUAGGGGAGCGCAUCAGAGAUCCGCUGGAGAACUCGAUGGCGAUUUUCAAGUUCCCCAGUCCCGUGCUCCCUGAGGGCACGACCUUUGUUUUUGGCUCGUGGGUCUGCGUUGCCAACGGCGCAGGCGGUUUCCGUCGGCACACCAUCGACGACACCUUCAAGCUAAAGACACUCGCCGCAAGGCUCGACGACUUUGUCGAUAAUCUCGACGAGUUGCCGUUUUCUGACUCUGCCAGGGAGACCGAGGCAGCGUCUGUUUCUACUGUUCCUUUUUCCAUGUUGGAAAAGGACUUGGACUCUUUGCUCCAGGCUGGAGGUUCCGGGGCCACCGCAUGCCGGGAGGCCGAGGAUCACCUGGCCGCUUGCGGGCUGAUGAUUACCACCACCUCCGAAGGACGAAUUGUUCAUUGGAGGGGGAUGAACUUGUCCGAUUCACCCGGACAUGAAGACCGAUUGGUAGCCCAUCUUGAGCCUUUGCCUUUUCAGGAGGGCAGGGCGUUGGCUGCCAUAUCCGAGGGCUCGACUGAGCUAGUCGAAGCCCCUUCCGAUGAACUCGCAACUCGCCAAGUCCUGAUGGCGGAAGAAGGGGACGACGACGCCCUCAUCCCCAUUGGCGCACUUGACGGCAUCUCAGAAGAUGAAGACACCGCAGAAGCCGAGAACGAGAACGACGCCGAGCGCGACGCGCGACGUGCAAGGAACAGAGCUCGUGCGGUUCGCAGAAGGCGCGCCAACGAGCGCAUACGUUCUGCACAGCGCAAACUCGACGCCGAAUUCGCCGCGGCAGAUGAACGUGGCUUCAGGACUCCUGUGGCCAACAUCGCUCGGGUAACAGCAUUACUCGAGUGAAGCAACGACCCCAACGUCCGACAAGCACUCAUCUACGCCCAACGGGCGUGGGUCCAGUUGGACCAGCAGGCUCCGGCAUCGCUCGUCAGGGACGAGCACGUCGGAGACAGCCGAAGCCAGGCCCCAAGUCGAACAACGGGUCAUCGCCCGCGACCCCAACGCAGCAACAACAAUGAUGGCGUGGGUGGAAGCCAGAUCACCGGUGGGAGGCGACAGCCACCUCCGGCAAACAACCCGAGGCAGCCCAACCCUCCACGUCACCAACCUGAUCUUCGCCAAAAGAUCAAUGAGGGGCGCGAUGCCCGGUCAGUCCUCGACUCGAGGCGACGGGAGCGUGAGGUAGUCGAGCGAGACGAUGCUGACUGCAGCGAUCGUUUCCCCGCGUUCACUGCGAGAUUCAACAACUACAAGUACCCGGAGGGUUUCAAGCCAAUUGGCAUUACCAAGUAUGACGGCAAGCAGGCACCCCAACAAUGGCUCCGCUGUUAUUCUACUGCCAUUGAGGUGGCUGGCGGCUCCAAUACUACCAAGGUCGUCUACUUUCCGAUGGCUUUGGAGCCUGCACCGUUGACUUGGCUCGAAAGUCUCCCCAACGAUUCUAUCGACUCCUGGGAAGGCCUCAAGAAGGUCUUCAUCGACAACUUCCAGGGGGCCAUAUCUCGAGCAGGAACCCGGCACGACCUCGCCCAGUGCAAGCAAGAGCGCAAUGAACUCCUCCGAUCUUACACCCGCCGUUUUUUCGAUGUGCGGGCCACCAUCGCCAACAUCUCAGAAGAGGACAUUAUCGAUUGCUUCUACAACGGCCUCACUGACCCAGGUAUAUAUCGUGAUUUUGGGCGUAACAGGCCAAAGACGGUUGCAGGUUUACGCGACAUGAUGCAUGACUGGUCUGAACAAGAAGAAAAGAUGCGCGAGAGGUUUCCAAGACGUACCGACCUCAACCAGAAGCGCAACAAUGACAACCGGGCAGACAAAGGCCAGCGGGAUUUUUCGGGUUCUUCCCGAAAACGCAAGCCAGACGAUCUCGUCGCGGCUGUGGACCGUCCUUCGCGGGGCAAGAAGUCGACCACGCAGGAGCAGUUUGAAAAACUCCUGCAGAAGAAGUGCCCGUGGUGUGUCAACUCCAAACACGCAGCGAUCGACUGUUUUCAGCUCAAGCGCGCCUUCGGCUCUCCUGGGAACGGCAAGAAGAACAAGUCGACGGGCAAAGAGCCCGAAGACGAGGAACAGGAGGACAAAUCUGAGACGCCUAAGUUCCAGGAUGCCUCCAAGACCGUCAAUGUUAUCUUUGGCGGUGACGAAGAUUUUUGCUCCAAGCGGGAACAGAAGUUGCUGCUACGAGAGAUCCUAUCAGUUGAACCAGCGGUACCACGACCACUCCGAUGGUCGGAGGUUCGCAUAUCAUUUUCCCGUGAUGAUCAAUGGACUAGCUUUUCCGAGCCUGGGAAGUUCCCACUGGUGCUGGAUCCCGUGGUCGCAGAAGUCAAGCUUACUCGGGUUCUUAUCGAUGGCGGGAGCAGGCUCAAUCUUAUCUUCGCCAGUACACUAAAGAAGAUGGGUCUGGACCUCACCAACAAGCUUACUCCGAGCAAAGCUCCUUUUUAUGGUAUUGUUCCUGGCAAUGCCGCGCAUCCGCUUGGGACAGUUGUUCUUCCAGUCACUUUCGGGACGAGGGAGAACUAUCGUACCGAGUUCAUCAAGUUCGAGGUGGCCAGCUUCGAAUCUUCCUACCACGCCAUACUGGCGAGGCCGGCGCUUGCCAAGUUCAUGGCGGUGCCACAUUAUAUCUACUUACUUCUCAAGAUGCCAGGACGUAACGGUGUGCUCACGCUCCGAGGCGACUUGAAGAAGUCCUAUGAUUGUAACCAAGAGGCCAUCCAGUAUGCAUCGACUUCCCGCGUGCCAGAUGCUUCCGCAGAAGUACUCGCGGCCACACAGCAACUCUCUCAAGCUGAGCUGGACAUCCCGACGAAGAAGGCGAGUCAAUCGGGCGUCAAGUCGACGGGCGAGGUGGCUCUCAAGACGAUCCAGCUCCAAGAAGGCGAUUCAUUUAAGACAGCCAUCAUCGGCGCGGGCUUGGGUGACAAAUAGGAACUCGCGCUCGUCAGUUUCCUGCGGGCUAACCGAGACAUAUUCGCAUGGAAGCCAUCGGAUAUGCCAGGGGUGCCCAAGGAGCUGAUCGAGCAUAGUCUUAAUGUGUACCCACAGGCUGUACCAAAGAAGCAACGACUUCGUCGUUUUGCCCCCGAUAAACGGGAGGCUAUCAAAUGGGAAAUAGCUAAACUCCUCGCGGCUGGAUUCAUUAAAGAAGUAAUCCACCCAGAGUGGGUGGCUAACCCCGUCCUUGUAUUAAAAAAGAACAAAGAAUGGAGAAUGUGUGUCGAUUAUACCGAUCUCAACAAGCAUUGCCCAAAGGAUCACUUUGGGCUCCCUCGCAUCGAUCAGGUAGUCGACUCGACCGCAGGUUGCGUAUUGUUAUGUUUCCUUGAUUGUUACUCAGGCUACCACCAGAUCGCUCUCAAGGAAGAAGACCAGAUCAAGACCGCGUUCAUCACCCCGUUUGGGACUUAUGCCUACAAGACGAUGUCUUUCGGGUUGAAGAACGCUGGCGCCACCUAUCAGCAGGCAAUUCAGAAGUGCUUUGCUGAUCAGUUACACCGGAACGUGGAGGCCUACGUGGACGACGUGGUCGUGAAAACUCGAAGUCCCGAGGGCCUCAUCACGGAUCUGGAGGAAACUUUCGCCAGCCUACGGAAGUACCGAUGGAAGCUUAAUCCGACCAAGUGCGUUUUUGGUGUUCCGUCAGGAAAACUGCUCGGGUUCAUAGUCAGUAACCGGGGUAUUGAGGCCAACCCUGAAAAGAUUACCGCCAUCACUGAUAUGGAGGCACCUGCCACAAUCAAAGAUGUACAGAAACUUACAGGUUGCAUGGCAGCUCUCAACAGAUUCAUCUCCCGGCUCGGGGAGAGAGGAUUACCUUUUUUCAAACUUUUAAAGCGUCAGGACAAGUUUCACUGGACAGAGGAAGCCGAGCGGGCUCUGCAGGAUCUCAAGCAACACCUACAGUCGCCCCCGAUCCUCACAGCACCAUUGCCGGGUGAGACCCUUUUACUUUACAUUGCGGCAACUACCCACGUUAUUAGCAGUGCUAUUGUUGUCGAGCGCUCCGAGGAAAGCCAUGCUUUUGGCGUGCAGCGGCCCGUGUACUUUGUCAGUGAAGUACUCUCAGAGUCUAAGGUGCGCUACCCGGCGGUCCAAAAGCUUCUCUAUGGCAUAUUGAUUACUUCGAGGAAAUUACGUCACUACUUUGAAGAGUACCAGAUCGUCGUGAUCACAGACUACCCGUUGGUGGAUAUCCUACACAACCAAGAUGCCACGGGUCGUAUUUCAAAAUGGGCAGUGGAACUGGGGGCUUUGUCGAUCGACUUCAAGCCACGCACUGCAAUCAAGUCCCAAGCUCUAGUCGACUUCAUGGCUGAGUGGAGGGAAAAUCAAGUCUCAAAUCCAGUUGACAAGCCAGAGCAUUGGACCAUGUACUUCGAUGGUUCUCUCAAGCUCGAUGGCAGCGGCGCUGGAGUUUUAUUCGUUUCCCCAAGAGGCGAACAACUCAAAUACGUCCUCCAAAUUCUCUGGGAGGUAUCCAACAAUGAAGCCGAGUAUGAAGCGUUGCUUCACGGGCUCCGUUUGGCGAUAUCACUAGGGAUCAAGCGACUACUUGUAUAUGGCGAUUCACUCUUGGUCGUUCAGCAAGUCAACAAGGAAUGGGACUACAACAAGGAGACCAUGGAAGCCUAUGUACGAGAAAUACGCAAGCUAGAAAACAAAUUUUCUGGCCUAGAAAUUCACCAUGUGCUGCGGGAACACAAUGUUGCUGCCGAUGCCUUAUCCAAGCUGGGAUCAACCCGAGCUCAAGUCCCGGCAGGGGUAUUUGUUCAGGAGCUGACGCACCCGUCCAUCAGCCCUUCACCACCGGUUUCCACCGCCACUGGCUCCGUACAGCCAGAACGGGAGGUACUGCUGGUCGGCGAGGACUGGAGAGGACCUUUCAUCGACUUCAUCCGAGAUCUCGUUUUACCGACCGGGAUGGACCCUAAAAGCGCUGCCGCCGCCCGCCUCAUGCGAUGGAGCAAGGGGUUUGUCCUAGUCGAAGACAAACUUUAUCGGCGCGGCGCACGAUCCGGAGUACUCAUGAAGUGCGUCACAACAGAAGGCGGUCUGGACAUACUGCGAGAAAUACACGAGGGCGUGUGUGGUAACCAUGCCGCCUCAAGGUCACUGGUUGGCAAAGCAUACAGAGCCGGUUUCUGGUGGCCUACCGCCGUGUCCGACGCCGAAGAUCUGGUACGUCGAUGUCAGAACUGCCAGUUCUUCGGUAAGCAAACUCAUGUCCCGGCCCACACCCUCAUCACUAUACCGCCUUCCUGGCCGUUUGCUUGCUGGAGCCUCGACAUGAUUGGGCCCUUCACAACGGUGCCAGGAGGUUUUACUCAUGUUCUGGUGGCUAUCGAUAAGUUCACCAAGUGGAUCGAGUUCAAGCCGAUCGCCAAGCUUACCCCAGACAGGGUGGUCGACUUCAUCUCCGACAUCUUACAUCAUUUCGGCUUCCCCAACACUAUUAUCACCGACUUGGGUUCCAAUUUCACGCCAACCAAUUCUGGGAAUUCUGUGAAAACUCAUCCAUCGAAGUCAAAUAUGUUUCAGUGGCUCACCCAAGGGCAAAUGGGCAAGUCGAGAGGGCGAAUGGUUUGAUUAUCGACGGUCUCAAGAAGAGACUUUACGACGCCAACAGCAAAAAGGGCGGGAAGUGGAUUCACGAGUUGCCACACGUAAUCUGGGGGCUCAGGACUCAACCUUCAAAAGCCACAGGGCAGACCCCUUUCUUUCUUGUCUACGGCUCCGAGGCGAUUCUCCCUGCAGAUAUCAUGUGGAAAUCACCAAGGGUUGAGAUGUAUAAAGAAGGCGAGGCGGACGAAGCACGACAGCUGGAGUUGGACUCUGUCGAAGAGGCUCGCUGCUCUGCUCUCGUUCAGUCAGCCCGUUACCUACAGGGAAUCCGGCGAUAUCAUGAUCGCAACAUUAAGGAACGGUCGUUUAGCAUUGGCGACCUUGUCCUUCGUCGCGUUCAGGACGAGUCGGGUUUGCACAAGCUUAACUCAAGAUGGGAAGGACCGUUCAUUGUCAAGAGGGUUACAAGACCGGGAUCUUAUCAACUUCGGCACCCCGAUGGUCAGGAUGUACCCAACUCGUGGAACAUCCAGCACCUGCGACGGUUCUACCCCUAAGCAGACUCGUGUCCAAUUUCUAUAUGCAUCAAUGGCAAGUUUUACUUUUCUGGAUCGAUUUGGCGGCUUUGUGCCACACAACCCGAAAUGUAAAUUCUUGAAUAUAAUGGUGGCGGCUGUUGGCCAUGCUUAAAUUUUAUAUAAAAUCGACUACUUGCCAGUGGCACAGGGGUCGUCGCGAUGCUAAUCGUGCUCUUUCAAACUGGUUAGGCCCGUCUGGCUCGGGUUCUAUCUAACUCGUUUGGCUACUCCUGCGGUGGUUACACCUAAGGGUAGUUUUUGACUGUUUGCCAUGAGCAUCCUAGUCGUCGCGCCACAGACUGCGCGUUCCGGGUCCGAGUGGAUCCUUUUUGGCAGGAUCUUAUUUAGCUCACCUGAUGAGCUCUCGUGCAGGGCUAAAUCAACUACUCUCUGAGUCGAUGCACUCAGAGGUAGCACGCCUAUGCUCCAAAGCAGAUGGGGCUCUUCGUCUGCACAUACGGCUACAAAGGAACAAAAAUGGUUUCUUAUAUUACAAAAGUCUUAAGCACUAACGGUUCAAUCCUGGACCAUGUUUCCAACAAUUUUUUCAGCUACAGGCCGGACCUCUAGCAAAUACUCGCGGAAGCUUUCAUCAGUACAAUCAGCAGCUGCACCCUCCGCGAGUACUUCUAGCCGAGCCUUUGGCCAGAAGGACUUUACAAGGCCUAGGGCAUGGCCCACGUAAGAUGUGGCAGCCUCGGUGACGAAAUUGAGGAUCUUUUGUGGCGCCCUGCGAAGACGAUCAAGUAGUGGUUGUCCAUCUUCAGCACCGUCUUCCCGGGGAUCCACCAUCUCUACGAGUUCCUGAGCUGCCACCUUCAAAUCAUCGAGUUCCUUCUGGCGCUGCUCUUUCUCCUCGCCCAAAGUCUUGAUCUGCUGGAGGCAAUCGACGAGUUGCUUCUCUGUGUCGGCCAUCACCUUUCGCAGACCCUCGACUUCAUCUGCGCGGCGAUAUAGCAUGUUCUUCAAAUCAGUAAGCAAUUCUUCUUUGUAAUUUAACAGCUGCUUAAGUUCUGCGAUGAUAAGCAGGUUUCAGAUCAUGAAGUUAUCGACCAUGGGUAUGACUCCGAGAAUUGAAUUCAACACACCUUGAUGGGUUUUCCGCUGUUCCUUGAGUCGGCCUUGGAGCUUGACGAUAUUCUGCUCGAAGCCGGCUCGCUCCUGCAACAGCCCGUCGAUACGCCUGGUGGACUCUUCCAGCUUCGUUGAAGUUUUUUGGUUCAUGUCCUACAUGUUUUUGGGUGUCAGAGGAUAUCGACCUAAUCAUACAGUUACCAGCGGUCUAGUUGAGAUUUACCAGAACAAAUGAGUCGAUCGCCUUGAUCAUUUGGCGUAGGCGGUUCAGAUCAUCCCCCGGGAGGUGCAUCUCUUGGAGUAUAAUGGUGUUUUCCCCUACAGAGGUCGGCAACCCGGGCGCCUCGCAAGAAGCACCCGCACCCUCCAAGGCUGACGGCUGAGAGGUCCCUGCAAAGGACGAGUAUUAAUAUAGCAAUGAUUGUGGCAGAAGGCAGCGGGAUCAUUUACCUGCACCGCCGACGGGUACGGUAGUGGUGACCUCGACUUGCUCAUUGCCGGGGGCUUCGGGUUCUGUGUGCUGGAGCUCGGGUAGUGGCGAGUCACGCAUGAUUACAUCUGCCCCCCCUGCU